RNAcentral lists this long non-coding RNA (45736 nucleotides) under Sorghum bicolor (sorghum). Its description in RNAcentral is "long non-coding RNA (SBIC_LNC006586)". The record is from RNAcentral. Lineage: Eukaryota; Viridiplantae; Streptophyta; Magnoliopsida; Poales; Poaceae.
AUUGAUUGAAUGGUUAUCCUUGAUCCUUUAGGUUGGUGGAGCAUGAUCCCCGAAGAGGACUCUGAUUGGGCACCAAAGGGGGGCGGGCGCCCUGGGCCAGGCCCCGUUCUGCCUCCGCUUCGUUUCCGUGGCUUCUGGAGUCUUCUAGAUGAUAUAAAAUUACCGCACACGUUAAUAUCUCUAUGUAAACCCGACGUGCGGGGCUUUCCUCCAUAUUUCCUGAUAACCCCCUGCAGAAAUAGACAAACACCAAAACUCGUGUAAUUCUGUCUGGUGAAACCCUAAUUUUGGAUGUUGGUUGCAUAUAGGUCAUUUUCCAUGAUUAGUUGACGGUUAAAUGUGAGCAUUAAGGACCAUCAACAAGCUCCCCCAAGCUUAACCUUUGCUCGUCCCUGAGCAAAGCAAAAAUCAGCAAGAAAACAGAGGUUACUUUUAUGCCUCUUACUAUAGGGUUUUUAAGUUAUCACUAAGGUCUUAAGUGAUUAAAAAACAGAACGAUCAAGUCAAGCACUAUGUCUCGAGUUCUUUUGUGUUACCUUUGUUCUAGAGUUUUUUGUAAGUUCCCAAAAUAAAACUGAGGCAUUUGCCUUCUUCUCAAAAGAUAUAUAAAUAAAGCUUUAAAAGUUUUAGCAUACUUACUUUGCAUUUUGCUAUGUCAAUACUCGGAGCAAGGGAGAGGAAUAUCAUACUCCUAGAUCAAGACCUUUGACCUUUUUGAAAAGUUUGUCAUCUCUUACUGGCAUAUUGCUUAUUAGAGGGCCAUGGGCUAUCAUUUUUUUCUUCUUUUUUUUAAGUGGGCACCAAGUACCCCUAAUUCUCCUAUCGGACACGUGUCCACUUUUCCACUCAGGUGGGUAUCUUUGUACCCCUAAUUCUACAUCGGACACUUGUCCAUUUUUACCUCUCGUCUCACUCUCUUUUUUUGAAUCAAAUUUUUGCAUAGUUCCAUGCCUCUAAUUCAAUAAUUCUUCAGUAGAGUGAAUCUUUUAUAUUUUUAAAAUAAAAAGAUCUUGAUCUUUGGAGCAUGAUAAUUCUCUCAACCAAAACUACAAGAAUUAACAAUGGCUUGAACAAAGCAUGUGGCCACAGUUUUAUCUUAUAAGACUCUAGGUAUUAUGUCAAACUGGAUCUCAUUCAAUUUUUUUAGAUUUUCAAAAGAUAAAAUCUCCAGAACUCUAGCGAAACUUGGAACAAGUUAAAUAGUAGCUCAGACCUUCUCAUAUCAUGUUUGUCAAUUACCUAGACUUGGAUCAAACUUUCUUUUUAUUUUAUUUAAAACUUAGGAUUACACAAAACUAUUGUAUAGUACUCAAAAGAAAAACAUUGUUUGGUUUCAUGGUUAUGCAUUUUAUUUAGUUAUUUAUGAAUACUAGUAAAUAAAACCAAGAAAGAAAAGUAAUACUUAUCUAGAUACACGUUGGGGUGCCUCCCCCAAGCUCGAUGUUGACAUAGUCAUUCACUCUUGUGGCCUGCACGUUCGGUCUCACUCUUCUUAAGUCUCAAAAUCCUGCACAACCCAAAUAGACAACAAAACUCGUGGAGCAUAUUAAGGGUUAAGUAAUUGUCGAGAGCUUAUGAGAGCUUAAUGUGAGAAUUCUAUGAACUCAAUCACAUCAAGUUCCUCUACCGGGUUGUUUUGUGGCUCGAGAUAGAUUUUCAAGCGUUGACCAUUUACCUUAAAAGUGUUACCUAUGUCGUCUUGGAUGGUAAUGGCUCUAUGAGUUGAAGUGUCAAUAACCUUGUAUGGUCCAUCCCACUUACUUCGUAGCUUACCGUGCCCAAAGAGCUUAACUCUUGAAUUAAAUAGUAGAACCUUAUCUCCAGGCUUAAACUCCUUGUGCUUGAUUCUCUUAUCAUGCCAUCAUUUUGUUCUCUCUUUAUAGAUCCUUGAAUUGUGGUAGGCUUUCUCUCUCCAUUCUUCUAGCUCAUAUAGUUGCAUCAGACGAUUCUCGCUAGCGAGGUGGAGAUCCAUGUUCCAUUUCUUGAGUGUCCAAUGAGCCUUAAACUCUACUUCCACAGGCAAAUGACAACUUUUUCCAUAUACAAGUUGAUAAGGCGACAUGCCUAUGGGUGUUUUGAAUGCAGUUCUAUAUGCCCAAAGUGCAUGAGGAAGUUUGUCCUUCCACCCCUUACCCAUCUCAUCUACGGUCUUUUGUAAAAUAUUUUUGAUUUGUUUGUUAGAUGUUUCGGCCUGACCGCUAGUCUGAGGAUGGUAUGGUGUUGCGACAUUGUGUAGAACUCCAUGAUCGGCUAGGUACUUCCGGAGGAUUUUGUCGAUGAAGUGGGAACCUCCAUCGCUUAUAACUAUCCGGGGUAUACCAAAGCUAGGAAAGAUUACUUCAUGGAACAUUCUCUUGGCAUGUUUUGAAUCAGCUGAUCGACAAGGUAGGGCUUCUACCCAUUUGGACACGUAGUCCACAGCUACUAAGAUAUACUCACAAUUCUCAGACAUAGGGAAUGGCCCCAUGAAAUCAAUGCCCCAUACAUCGAAAAGUUCUACUUGAAGAUUAUUUGUGAUAGGCAUUUCAUUUCGUGAGUUGAUAUUCCCAUGUUUUUGACAUCGGUGGCAUCUCCUGACAAAGUCCUUUGUAUCUUCAUACAUCGUUGGCCAGAAAAAACCACUUUGCUAAAUUUUAGCAUAUGUCCGGAAUGCUCCAUAGUGUCCUCCAUAUGGUGAGGCAUGUCAUCUUUCCAUAAUUUGAGUAGCCUCAGCCAUAGGAACACACCUUCUCAAGAGUCCAUCAGCGCAGACUCGAAAAAGAUAUGGCUCAUCCCAAAGGUGGAAACGACUAUCGUGAAGCAACUUCCUUUUGUUUGUACUAGGUGGGACAUAGCCUUUUACUAUAAAGUUUACGAUGUCUGUGUACCAUGGAUCUGCAUGUGUUAUCUUAAGCAUGGUGUCAUCCCUUAGGUAGUCAUUUAUGGGAAGCUCAUCAUGUGUUUCCUUAUAUUGAAGCCUAGACAAGUGGUCGGCUACAGAAUUCUCAACUCCCUUCCUAUCUCGGAUUUCUAUGUCAAAGUCUUGGAGUAGAAGAAUCCAUCGAAUUAGACGAGGCUUAGCAUCUUUCUUAGUGAGGAGGUACUUGAGAGCAGCAUGGUCUGAAUAGAUGAUUAUCUUCGCCCCCACUAAGUAAGAUCUAAACUUGUCUAUAGCAAAGACAAAAGCCAAAAGCUCUUUUUCAGUUGUAGUGUAAUUGAGCUAUGCUCCAGACAAGGUUUUGCUAGCGUAGGAUAUGGCAUAAUGCUUUUUAUCCUUGGUUUGUCCUAAAACGGCACCAACCGCAAAAUCGCUAGCAUCACACAUGAUCUCAAAAGGAAGAUUCCAAUCAGGUGGUUGGAUAAUCGGGGCUGAGAUGAGUGCUUUCUUAAGAGUUUGAAAAGAUUCAUGACACUCAUCACUAAAGAUGAAAGGUGCAUCCUUAGCUAGGAGACUAGUUAGGGGUCUAGCAAUUUGAGAGAAGUUCUUGAUAAAGCGUCUAUAGAACGCUGCAUGUCCCAAAAACCUACGGAUUCCUUUCACAUUCGUGGGAGGUGGAAGUUUUUCAAUAACUUCAAUCUUUGCUUUGUCCACCUCUAUACCACGUUCAGACACUUUAUGUCCUAGCACUAUUCCUUCCUGAACCAUAAAAUGGCAUUUCUCCCAGUUUAGGAUUAAGUGCUUUUCUUCACAUCGCUGCAAGACUCUAUCUAAAUUCUCCAAACAAUGAUCGAAGGUUUUACCAUAGACGGUAAAAUCAUCCAUGAAAACCUCCAUGAUCUUCUCAAUCAUGUCCGAGAAAAUAGACACCAUGCACCAUUGGAAAGAAGCUGGAGCAUUGCACAAUCCGAACGACAUUCGUCGGUAUGCAUAAGUUCCAUACGGGCAUGUAAAGGUAGUCUUUUCUUGGUCAUCUGGAUGGAUUGGGAUUUGGUGAUAUCCAGAAUAACCAUCAAGGAAAUAGAAGAAAGAGUGGUUUGCAAGCCGUUCCAACAUUUCAUCAAUGAAGGGUAACGGAAAGUGAUCUUUCUUUGUAGCCUUGUUGUGUUUUCGAUAGUCAAUACACAUACACCACCAAGUGACAAUUCGUUGAGGGAUGAGUUCAUUCUUCUCAUUCCUCCUUUCUUCGGCACUACUUGGACAGGGCUAACCCACUCACUAUGUGGCACAGGAUAAAUAAUCUCAGCAUGAUAGAGUUUGAGGACCUCUUUCUUAACAACCUCUCGCAUAGCAUUGUUAAGUCUCCAUUGUGGUUCCCUUGAAGUUGUAAAAUUGGGAUCAAUAGAGAUACAAUGAGUGCAGAGAAUGGGACUAAUGCCCGUGAGAUCUUCGAGAGAGUAGCCAAAUGCUGAUCUAUGCCUUUCAAGAACAGUGACAAGUUGUUGUGUUUCAUAAUCGGAAAGCUUGUCACUGAUAAUUACUAGAGUUUUUGGGUUGUUGUGCAAAAAGACAUAUCUAAGGCCAGAAGGAAGAGGUUUUAACUCUAUCGAAGGAGGUGAAGGUUGUUCAUUUUUGUCUAGCUCAAUGGGUUCUACCAACUCUUCUUCUUGUUGAACAAAGUGUUCAUGAUUAAAGAAUGGUUGGGCCAUCUCCUCUUGAGUCAGCAUUAAGAUCUCCUCAAUAGGAUCUAGUUCAAGUUUGGGUUCCACUAUCGUGUUAAUUGAUCUAGCAAGAGGAACAACAAUAGUGGAAUUCCCAACCUUGAAGUCUAAAUGACCUCGUUGUGGUUGUUCUUGUAGAAGUUUCAUGAUUGGUCUGCCAAUUGUUGACAGUCCUUAAGUACUAAAAUUAAUAAUCAAAUAAUCAUGGAAAAGGAUCAAUAUGCACCAAACAUCUAGAAUUAGGGUUUUAUCUGACAGAAUUCCACGAGCUUUGGUGUUUGUCUAUUUCUGCAGGGGGUUAUCAGAAAAUAUGGAGAGAAGCCCCCCAUGUCAUGUUUACAACGAGAUAAUUACGUGCCGUGCAAUUUUCCUCAAUCUAGAAGAGUCCAGAAGCCACGGGAACAAACAGGAGACCGAACGGGCACGGGGGCUGGGCGCCCGCCCACCCCCCUUGGGCGCCCGCCCUGGCUAGGAUUCCAAUCAGAACUCUUUUCAGGGACCAAGCUCCACCAACCUAAAGGAUGAAUCUAAACCAUGCAAUAAAGGUCGGUUUCAUCCGACGACCCAGAUUCACUUGAAAGGACUAUAUAACCAAGGCCUCUCCACCCCUGGGGGAGAGAAGAAAAGAGGAGAAAUCAUUAUCAGAGGUAGCCAUCAAAGAUAGGGUUGAGAGCUUCUCUCCCACAGAGAAUUAGAAUUAGCUACUCCCUAAUCCUUCAAGUUUAGAGGUUUGAUUAGAUAGCAAUUAGAGAAGUAGAGCACUACGCUCUAGAUUCGGAUCUUCGGUAAUAAAGAUUGGUAUUAUUAAUAUCUUUCUCCAAUACUUUGUUCUAAUUGCAUUAUGUCUCUAUUUAUUAUGUUCUUAGUUUGCUCUAGUUCUAUAUUUGAUAUAGUUAUGAUUGAUAAUGAGUUUAUGUAUAAGUUUGCAAAGCGCUUAGCUCUCGACACGAGGGAGUUAAGUGGUAGAUCACAUGUGGGUGUGGUUCUUAGAUGUUAUUUACGUGCAAAUGUAUCCUAUUGGCCGGGUCGUGUGGUAGUUCGCGAUAGUGACAGCUUCGUUGAUUCUUAUAUAGUCCACCCUCCGUUGAUAGGACAAGCAGAAUUGGUAUUGCGGAGUAAGUCUUGCGAUGUUCUGGUUUACUUUAGCAAUGUUCCUUAUACAUGAAUGAAGAGUCUUUUAUGCUAUACAUGAUCUUGUAGAUAACUAGAGUAGAUUAUGACUUAGUAGAUAGUAGAUAACUUAGAAUCCAUUCUCUAGCUAAUCCGACGUCACCUACAUAUAUGAGUAGUCUAUUUUCUAAUCGCUGUGUUAUUUACCCAUGAACUUACAAUUCAUUAUAAUUAUCUUUAUGGUUUACCCCCUGCCAAAGUAAGUGACUGUGUGACGAGUUUCUCAUUAGUAAUCAUGUUCUUGCAAGUUUAUCUCUAGUCUAUGCCUUGAUAGAUUUUGUCCUUAUUUUAAUUUCAUCCCUUUUGUUCUCUUAAGCAAAAUUAUAAAUAACGAUACUUGGAAUACUUAUCCUGAUGAAAUGCUACAAUGAGGUGUUUUAUCUGUGCGCUUGCUGAUAGAAUAGAUUAUUUUCUAGAGGGCCUUUACAUUUAUAAAUACCUUUGUACAAUCUGGCACCAUGCUGGAGACGACAACCUAGUAUCUAAGUGGUGUUAGCUAGUGUCAACAAGCAUUUCUGGCGCCAUUGCCAGGAAGCUAAAGGGUAACACAUAGGAACGGUAAGGAAAGUCGGGAAAUCAGUCAAGGUUAUUCAUAUAAAAUAUUAGACUAGACUAUAGAGAAAUAAUUGCAUAAAACAGCUACUAAGUGAGAAAUCAUAACACGCCACCUCUGCUUUGGCAGGUUCACCCUGUUGUUUUUCUAUGUUUAUAUUUUUAUACAGGGUAUAUCAGGAUUGACUUUGGGUACAUUAAACUCUUCAUCAUCAGAACCAAAGCAAUCAAGAGAAGAAGAAGCUAGCUACCAAUUGCUGAAGCUAUGGCACAGAAGACCCUGUUGAUAUUUGGGAACGCAAUAAGGAAUUGAUCCGCAAGCGCACGGAUAUCGGUGAGCACUUCACCAAGGAGGUUAUCCAGAGUAUCGUAUUUAUUUUUUUACCACUAGGAGAAAGAGUGCAUCUGACUAACCUGGUCUAUUACUACAAACCCUUUAGGCUACAAAGAAUGUUUCUCGAUGUGAGUGAUAAAUAGAGAAGACUACAACCGUAAUCUCCUUCUAACCUUGGUAAGGAUGAUCUACUGUUCUGUUGGGGAGGCUAACGGAAUCUAGACACCACAGAGGAUGUUCAACCCGCACCUAUAAACCCUAUCUUUCCUACUAACGAGAUAUGGUCUGCAAAGGUAACUCGGAAUUGUCACGUUCCUCGCUACUACCAUGGUUUAGCUAGUUAGGGAAUAUCUAUGAGCUAGUAUCCUAGCCUAAACAGCACGUCUACGCUAGAGAUGAUUACUCUAAACUCUAGGCGAAGAGAUUAAAGUAAACUCAUAAACCAAAAGAACAACAAAACAAGAACUUACUAGAAUUUAAAAGUUGAAAUACUGAAGAAUCCUAGGAGCAAGCUUCGGGUUAGGAGAACUUGAUCCCGUAGGUACAAGGUCGGAGUAGACACCGACAGGCCGGGCUUCCUCCGAUCUACACCUCCACUCUAUCUCUCUCAAUCUAGUAGAAACUAGAAGAUCUAUUUCUACUUACAUUGGUUGCUAAGCCUAAAAAGAAAUUUUAUUUAGAGGAGAGGUUUUCCUUCGAGGGCUCCUCUCAACUAUAUGAUGAACUUGUCUCCUCUAGGGGCCAGGGGGUCUGGUUUUAUAGUCCCCUCAAGUGAACGUGAGCCGUUGGAUCAAACCGACAUUGAUUGGAUAGUUAUCCUUGAUCCUUUAGGUCGGUGGAGCAUCGUCCGUGAAAAGAGUCCCGAACCAAGUCCAGAGGGGGGCAGGCGCCCAGGUCAACUUGCCGGGCGCCUAGUGCCUGGCCCCGUUCGGCCUCCGCUUCCUUCCCGUGGCUUCUGGAGUCUUCUAGAUGGUAGAAAAUUGCACGGUGCGUUGAUAUCUCUAUGUAGAACCGACAUGUGGGCCUUUCUUCCUUAUUUCCUGAUAACCCCCUGCAGAAACAGAUAAACAACAAAACUCGUGGAAUUCUGUCAGAUCAAACCCUAAUUCUAGGUGUUGGUUGCAUGUUGGUCCUUUCUCUUGUUUAUUUGAUAAUUAAAAUUGAUACUUAAGAACCGUCAACAAAUACCCCCAUACUUAGGCUUUUACUCGUCCUCGAGAAAAGGAUGGUUGAGAACAUUAUCUGGGGUAAAACAUUUUAAAACAUUCUCUUCAUACCUGCAGGGUGUUAAAAUCCACUGUGUACUAUAGUCAGGGAAGUAUAUGGUGAAGAGUAGAGGUCCUUUCUUCUCAAUCCUGUCACUUGGAGUUUUUGUAUAUUUUUAAAAAGAAAGUUAGCAUAUCUUUUAUCCUCAUAGGUUCUCUCAGAUCACUCAUUAUCUUUUAUAUAUCUCACUGAGGCUGUUUAAAUUUGCAAAAAUUCUCAAGCAUACUUACCUUGCAUUUAUUGCCUGAUCAAAACGGGAUCCGAGGAGAGGAAUGCCAUACUCUUAGAUCAAAGACUUUGGAAAUUAAAAUCUUUGUCAACUCUUGUUGGCAUAUUGCUUAUUAGAGGAACCAUGGGCUAUCAUUUUCUUUUUUUUCUCUCUUUUUUUCUAUUCAUUUUUGAAGUGGAUACCGAGGUACCCCUAAUUCUACUGCUGGACACUUGUCCAUUUUUUCUGCGAGGUUAUCGAGCACUUGCUCCUUUUUAUUUCCUCGAAAUAUCCUUAUUUUUGCAUAGCCCAUGCCUCUAAUGCAAUAAUACUUCGGAAGAGUGAAUCUUUCUGAAUAAAUGUCUUCAUCUUAGGAGCAUGAUAAAUCUCUCAACAAGGGUCUAACUCAUUUUGAAUAAACUCAAUACAGAGUAGAUAGCUUUUAUAAUCAUAAUUAAUAUUUUCAGUUUUAGUAGGGAUGUAAAACACUGAGGAUGGUAGCUAGAAUUUUGAAGAUUUUGAAAUAAAUUCUCCAAGCAACAAUGAUAUCAAGGAUAAGAAGCUCAUACUCUACCAUCUCACAUUCCAUAUUGACUUAAGUAACACAAGGUUUUUAAAAUGAUUUUUUUCAAUAAUUGGAAGUUUCAGGAAAUAUCACAGAGUGAGAUUAAUCAUGACUAGAAACAUUUUAAUCUUUUUAAUUUAUCUUGUCGGAAACAGUAUUCUGCAUAAUCCAAGAUAUGUGUAUGUGUAAAGUGUGCAGAGUGUGUACCUGAAUCGUGGAGUGGUGUAGUCGAAGUGUGUUUGGCAUGUCGAGAGAUCUCCCCCAUACUUGUUUUCUGCUUUCUUGCACAAAGAUAAAGUAGAGACACACAAGACAUAAUAAUAAUAAUAAUACUCUUUAUUAAUCUUGAGGCAUUUAUUACAAAUAACUAGUAGCAAACUGACGAUAAUAGUAGCAAACUGACGAUAACAGUAAACCUAAACCGAAUUUAAAGAUAGAUAACUAAGAUGCAUUGCCUCAAGAUCUAAUCUAGAUAACUUAGCGGCGCUCUAAUUCCUUGAUCUUCUUAUUGGCACUGGCAAGAUCCUGCCUAAGGCAUAGUAUAACGGUGUUGUGGUUAGAGAGCUGCCUAGUGAGGGAAUUAACCGAGGACUGGAGGUCUAAGAUAACUCUGUCUAGCCUGUGAACGUCCUCAUCAAUAUCUACUAUAGUCUUGCGACGCUUAGGAGGUGUCUCAAAAGCAUUGAGAGAAUGCUUCGGGGCUGCCUUUGGAGGGAUGAAACGGACUUUGGCUGCUCUAAUCCCCUCGAAGUAAGGCCUUUCCUCCUCUGUAGUGUAGCGAAUGCUGUGGAUCUCGCCGCUCCAGUUGGUAUUGACUUCAACGACCCUCUCAUUAGGUCUAGGUAGAAGGAUCCUCGUGAAGGUUGGCACUUUGAUGGUGGUCUUCGUCUUCGAUGAUGAUCCCUUGAGAAGUAGGGGUUGUGGCAGUGCGGUAAGAACUGGUUGAGCAUGGUAGGAUUGGGUGGAGCUGCGUUGGCGUAAUGGCAUGGCUUCUAGCUGUCGCUCUGUGUUGGCCGGGACGAGAGCACGGGCGUCGGGGUCUUCCGCAGGCUCCAUGUUGAGGUUGAAGGGGACGACUUCCCAAUCAUCGUGGAACUUCUCGGCCAUUGGAGCAGCGAGGGGCUAAUCAAGCUCUAAUUGAGAAAGAAGAGAAGGCUUGGGUGGAUUGGUGUUUGAAAACUGAAGUCAGGGGUCUGUUUAUAUAGGGGUCAAAAAGUGCCUCUAGGGGUUCUUCGGGUUGCUCCCGUCGAUGUGCGCGAAAAACUUUCCAUCUGAGGGAUUAUUCGGAUUACCAUAAGUGUUGUUUCCAUAACUGAGAAAAUCAGGACCGAAGGGGAACAGGGGCUGGGCGCCCGCCUACUUGAUCAUGGCGCCCGCCCUCUCUCUGUCUCCUCUAUGGGCCCCCUUCCUUGAGCGUGUUUCUAGAUGCAAAACUUUUUAGGAAAAUAUAUGUAUGCCCCAAAAACGUCAGAUUAAAAAGGUCGGGCUCUAAUUCUCCAUGGGAAGGAAAAAAUGGAUUACGCCUAUUUCUUCUAAUUCUUUAUUGGGCUCUAAAAAUAAUUUAAAACAUUGACCAUUUACCUUGAAUAACGUACCUUCGUCAUUUUGAAGUGUGAUAGUUCCGUGGGAUGAUGAAUUGAUUACCUUGAAUGGUCCUUCCCACUUACUCCGGAGUUUUCCGUGCUCGAAAAGCUUCACCCUGGAAUUAAAAAGUAAUACCUUAUCUCCGGGUGUGAACUCCUUCUUCUCGAUUCUCUUGUCAUGCCACCUUUUAACUCUUUCUUUGUAGAUCAUCGAAUUGUGAUAUGCUUUCUCUCGCCAUUCUUCCAAUUCUCAUAGUUGCAUUCUUCUAUGAUCUCCAGCAACAUCUAGGUCCAUAUUUCAUCUCCUUAUGGCCCAGUGUGCUUUGAACUCUAGUUCAACAGGUAGGUGGCAAGUUUUUCCGUACACCAAUUGGUAUGGGGACAUUCCAAUUGGGGUCUUGUAUGCUGUCCGGUAUGCCCAGAGUGCAUCGGGUAACUUGUCUUUCCAUGUCGUUCCCAUUUCAUUUACUGUCUUCUGAAGAUUAUUCUUGAUUUGCUUGUUGGAAGUCUCUGCUUGGCCACUUGUCUGAGGAUGAUAGGGAGUAGCGAUGUUGUGACGGAUUCCAUGUUUUGAUAGAUAUUGCUUGAAGCGUUUGUCGAUGAAGUGUGCUCCUCCAUCACUUAUCACUGCUCUGGGGACUCCAAAUCUUGGAAAUAUAAUUUCUUCAAACAUCCUCUUUGAACUGAUGUUGUCGGCAUGCUUGCAAGGUAGUGCCUCUACACACUUGGAGACAUAGUCAACUGCCACCAAGAUGUACUCACACUUCUUUGAUGGGUGAAAUGGACCCAUGUAGUCUAUUCCCCAGACAUCAAAGAGCUCAAUCUGAAGGUUGUUGGUGAGUGGCAUGGCAUCCCUUAUGUUAAUGUUUCCGUGCCUUUGACAUGGCCCACAUCUUCUGAUAUAUUGCUUCGUGUCUUCAUACAUUGUAGGCCAGUAGAAUCCACAAUGCCAGAUCUUUGAAUGUGUAUGGAAUGCUCCAUAAUGACCUCCAUAUGGUGAUGAAUGACAUCUGUCGAUGAUCUUCCAUCCUUCCUCGGUGGUCACACAUCUCCUGAGUAAGCCAUCAGAGCAUACCCAAAAGAGGUAUGGCUCAUCCCAUAUAUGCGAACGACUUUCUUGAAUAAGCUUCUUCUUGUUUGCUCCUGGUGGUACAUACCCUAAAACCAUAAAAGUAACAAUAUCUGCAUACCAGGGGUCAGACCUGUUAAUCCCGUAGAGCAUGUCGUCCCAGAGUGAAUCAUUGAUGGGGGUUUCCUGUGGACUCUUAAAAUACAUUCUAGACAAGUGAUCAGCAACAGAAUUUUCUACUCCUUUUUAUCUUUUAUUUCUAAAUCAAAUUCUUGGAGUAAUAACAUCCAUCUAAUCAGGCAAGGUUUAGCAUCUUUUUUAGUGAGCAAAUAUUUUAGUGCAGCAUGAUCAGUGUAAACAAUUAUUUUAGCUCCAACUAAAUAGGAUCUAAAUUUAUCAAUGGCAAAGACAACAGUUAGAAGCUCUUUUUCACUGGUUGCAUAAUUAAGUUGAGCUCCUGUCAAAGUUUUACUGGCAAAGCAAUUGCAUGAUGCUUCUUAUUUUUAGUUUGUCCCAAUACUGCCCCCACAACAUAAUCACUAGCAUCACACAUAAUUUCAAAAGGCAACGACCAAUCAGGGGGUUGAAUGAUUGGUGCAGAGAUGAGUGCUUUGUUUAAUAAAUUAAAAGAUGUUAGACAUGCAUCAUCAAAUUCGAAAGGAGCAUCCUUGGCUAGCAAAAGAGUAAGUGGUCUAGCAAUAAAUGAGAAAUCUUUUACGAAUCUACGAUAAAAACCAGCAUGGCCAAGAAAGCUUCGAAUUCCUUUUAUAUUCACAGGUGGAGGUAGUUGUUCAAUUACUUCAAUUUUAGCUUUGUCUACCUCAAUACCUCUUUCAGACACUAGGUGUCCCAGCACUAUUCCUUCCCUAACCAUAAAAUGACAUUUUUCCCAAUUAAGGACUAAGUGCUUUUCUUCACAUCUUUGCAAAACCUGGUCUAAGUUUUCAAGACAACUAUCAAAACUUUUUUUCGUAAACAGAGUCAUCCAUGAAAACUUCCAUAAUCUCUUCAAUCAUAUCAGAAAAUAUAAACAUCAUGCAUCUUUGAAAAGAAGCUGGUGCAUUACAUAACCCAAAAGACAUUCUACGGUAAGCAUAAGUUCCAUAUGGGCAUGUAAAAGUGGUUUUGCUUUCAUCAUCGGGAUGGAUCGGGAUCUGAUGAUACCCUGAAUAUCCAUCUAAGAAACAAAAGAACGAAUGGUUCGCUAAUCGCUCUAGCAUCUCAUCUAUGAAAGGUAAAGGAAAAUGAUCCUUUCUUGUGGCUUUGUUCAGUUUUCUAUAGUCUAUGCACAUCCGCCAUCAUGUGACGGUGCGUUGCGGAAUUAGCUCGUUCUUUUCAUUCAUAAUAACAGUCAUGCCUCCCUUUUUAGGCACAACUUGAACUGGGCUUACCCACUCACUGUGCGGCAUAGGAUAUAUAAUCCCUCCAUGCAGCAACUUUAUAACUUCUUUUUUAACUACCUCUCUCAUAGUGCUGUUAAGUCUACAUUGGGGUUCUCGAGAAGGUGUAACAGAAGGAUCUGUUGGAGUACGAUGGGUACAAAUCAUAGGACUGAUUCCUGUAAGAUCUUGGAGUGAGUAGCCAAAAACUGAGUGAUGUUUGUCAAGAAUGGUCAUUAAUCGUAGAGUUUCCACCUGAGUGAGUUUAUCACUAAUGAUCAUAGGAAACUCUCGAUUAUUGUUUAGGAAAGCAUAGGUAAGACCGGGUGCUAAAGUUUUAAGCUCUAUGGGGGGUCUAGGUGUUUCUGCAAACUCAUCCAAUGGUUCAGGUUCAGAAGGUUUAGCUUCUUCUUCUGUGAAGAAAGGAGCUUCAUCUUCUAAGUCUGAUUCAUCUAAAAGCUCUAGAGAUGCAGCCUUUACCUCCUCCAUAGGAUCAGGCAAAAGAUAUGACUCGGCCUCAUUGUUUAAGGAGUGUGAGAUUGUUAUUGAGAUUUUAAAGGUUUUUCCAAAAGAAAUGUGUAGCUUUCCAGUAUGACCUUCAUAAAGGAGUCUUCUAAAAGGUUGUCCUAUCAACAAGUCGAAGUCCCAUGUAUCAAAGAUAGAGAAGUUCAAAUGAACCAUAGAGCCUUCUACCGUAAGAGGUAGGACAUUAAUAAUUCCAAGACUGGGGACUAAUCGUCCCGAAGAUUCCUUUAUGACCUUUGUUGUGGGGGUUAAGACAAAAUUUUUAAAUAUUUUAAGUGCAAAAGAUUCAGACAUAAUGUUGAUCCCCACAACAGGAUUAUAGAGAGCAUCAAAUCGAUCAGAAUCAUAAGCACAUCGUAUAGUUAUAGAGGCUGUGUCCAAACAAAUCACAUCAGAGGAAAGCUCUGAUUCCUCCAACCACUCGCUACUCAUGACUGAGAUAAGCUCUCUCAAUUGAUGUUCACUUGGUAAAUAAAUGCUAAACUGGCCGUUUUGGGGUCUAUUAAUAGAAUGGUAGUUUGAAAUGUUUCCAAAAUCGGCAAAAAGAUCAGAUUCUAUAUCCAGCAUGAAGUCCGGUGGUGGAAUUUCUUCCUUUUGUGGCUCAAAACCUGGGAUAGCUAAAGUAGAUGAAGAAUUUGGCAGAGUGUCUACUUCGGCUUCAUGGGUUUCAUCAUGAAGGGUAUUAUCCAUCUCAGCUUCUAGGAUUCUAUCUAGCAUCACUCUAGCUUCAUCAGUAGGGAUGCGAAAGAAACAACCUCUAGACAUUGUAUGUCGCAUUUGUUUAUGAUCUUUCUGAAGACCUCGAAAAAAGUGAUAUAAAAGAACAGGGUCUUCAAGAUUAAGGUUUGGACUAGAUUCUAAAAGAUCAGAAAAACAUUUCUAGGAUUUUCCUAAAGUUUCAUUAUCUUUUUGUUUAAAAGAUAGGACUUCGAGUCUAAGGUCGCCGAUACGGUCGAGGGAAUAAAAAUCUAGACAAAAGUUGGCUCGUAAAACUCCCCAUUCACCUCGUUGUUGACUUACCUUCUGACUGUACCAUUGUCUAGCUUCUCCCCGUAAAGAAAAAGGAAAAAGCUUCCAACUUAAAGUUUUAUCAGAAAUGCCUUCAAUGCGAAGACAAUCACAUGUUUGCUCAAAAUCUCUAAUAUGAAGGUAAGGGUUUUCGUCUUCCUUUCCCGAAAAAGAUAGGUUUUGAAUCAUGGCAAUCAACCUAGAACUUAACUUAUACUGGGAUGUUUGGAUAGGCUGUGAUGAUUCCCAAGGUAAAAGGUCAGUUACUGAUGGGAUUGCAGAUUCAUGGAUCGAUUUAGAAUUUUGAUUUUCCAUAAGGUAAGAAUAAAUAAAAUAAAUAAAGAAUAUAAAAGAUAAGAAAAGAUAAAAGUAUAGAUACAAGCUAGUAGUAAGACUCAAGGUUAUCUCAGCAAACCGUCUUUCUCCCCGGCAACGGCGCCAGAAAUGCUUGUUGAUAUUUGGGAACGCAAUAAGGAAUUGAUCCGCAAGCGCAUGGAUAUCGGUGAGCACUUCACCCGGGAGGUUAUCCAGAGUAUCAUAUUUAUUUUUUUACCACAAGGAGAAAGAGUGCAUCUGACUAACCUGGUCUAUUACUACUAACCCUUUAGGCUACAAAGGAUGUUUCUCGAUGUGAGUGAUAAAUAGAGAAGACUACAACCGUAAUCUCCUUCUAACCUUGGUAAGGAUGAUCUACUGUUCUGUUGGGGAGGCUAACGGAAUCUAGACACCACAGAGGAUGUUCAACCCGCACCAAUAAACCCUAUCCUUCCUGCUAACGAGAUAUGGUCUGCAAAGAUAACUCGGAUUUGUCACGUUCCUCGCUACUACCACGGUCUAGCUAGUCAGGGAAUAUCUAUGAGUAUCCUAGCCUAAACAACACGUCUACGCUAGAGAUGAUUACUCUAAACUCUACGCGAAUAGAUUAAAGUAAACACAUAAACCAAAAGAACAAUAAAACAAGAACUUACUAGAAUUUAGAAGUCGAAAUACUGAAGAAUCCUAGGAGCAAGCUUCGGGUUAGGAGAACUUGAUCCUGAAGGUACAAGGUCGGAGUAGACACCGACAGGCCGAGCUUCCUCCGAUCUACACCUCCACUCUAUCUCUCUCAAUCUAGUAGAAACUAGAAGAUCUAUUUCUAUUUACAUUGGUUGCUAAGCCUAAAAAGAAAUUUUAUUUAGAGGAGAGGUUUUCCUUCGAGGGCUCCUCUCAACUCUAUGAUGAACUUGUCUCCUCUAGGGGCCAGGGGGUCUGGUUUUAUAGUCCCCUCAAGUGAACGUGAGCCGUUGGAUCAAUAACAUUGGUUGGACGGUGAUCCUUGAUCCUUUAGGUCGGUGGAGCGUCGUCCGGGAAAAGAGUCCUGAACCAAGUCCAGAGGGGGCGGGCGCCCAGGUCAACUUGGCGGGCGCCCAGUGCCUAGCCCCGUUCGGCCUCCGCUUCCUUCCCGUGGCUUCUGGAGUCUUCUAGAUGGUAGAAAAUUGUGCGGUGCGUUGAUAUCUCUAUGUAGUCCCGACAUGUGGGCCUUUCUUCCUUAUUUCCUGAUAACCCCCUGCAGAAACAUAUAAACAACAAAACUUGUGGAAUUAUGUCAGAUCAAACCCUAAUUCUAGGUGUUGGAUGCAUAUUGGUCCUUUCUCUUGUUUAUUUGAUAAUUAAAAUUGAUACUUAAGAACCGUCAACAGACCCUACAAGAAUUCUCUGCUCCAAGUCUUGAGAACAUUCCAACUGGUCCAAGAUUUGCAGUAGAAGAAUUAGUACCUGAGUUUGAGCUCAAGUCAAGCCUCAUCAAUUUGGUACAAGCUACACAAUUCAGUGGAAUGGCACAUGAAGAUGCUAGUGCACACUUGCAGAACUUCUUAGAAAUUGGAAGCACAAUCCAUCUCAAUGGAGUUGACAAAGACGUCAUACUGCUUCGCCUUUUUCCAUUCUCACUAGAAGGAAAAGCGAGGAAGUGGUUCUACACUCAUCAAUAUAAUAUCAACAACUGGACGAACUUGUCAGAUGCCUUUCUAUCAAAGAUUUUCCCUAUAGGCAAAACAACUACCUUAAGAGGAAAUAUUGUCACUUUCCAACAGCAGAAGACAAAAGCCAUUUCAGAAGCAUGGGAGCAUUUUCAAGGAUACAUAUCAGAUUGUCCUCACCAUGGAAUGGCCACAUGGUUACUUAUGCAGACCUUCUACCAUGGAUUAACCUAGAAGGCUCGUGAGUGCCUAGAUGCAUCUGCUAAAGGAUCAUUCUUGGAGCUUACAAUUGGAAAAGCAUAGAUACUUUUGGAUAAGAUAGCAGAAAAUCAAAGCUGGUUCCAAGAUGAAGCUCAACAAUGUCAUCAAACUGAAGAAAUACCAGAAGAAGUAAAUGCAUUAUAAACCAAGAUGGAAAAUUUGGUCCAUUGGAUUGACCAGAGGGUCAAGUUCAAAGAAGAUCAAAGGGCCAUUGAGACAGCAUACAAAUAUCAAACCACUUCAAGUCAACCCAAUAGCAAAGGUAUGAAUUUAGGUAAUACUUUCAAGCAACUUUCAUUAAAAGAGAUAAUUGCUCAACAAAUGAAAAUUAAUGAUGAAGCUAAACAAAGGCUAGAUACAAAUGAAUCAUCUCUAAAAGAUAUACACAAUAAAAUGGAUUUUCUAUUAACUGCCUUUGAUGAGCAAAACACUCUUAAUAAAAGGGUAGAGCUUAAAUUACUAAAGUUAGCUGCUACACUGCCUGUUGCUACUAACAUUGAGCAGGUAAAGAACAUAACUACUAGAGGAGGCAAAGCCACCAGAGAUCCCCCAUACCCAAAAGAGAAACAAAGAACAUCAGCACCAGUGCAACCAGCAGUGAUAGAAGAAGAAAGCCCAGUUGAAGUAGAAGAUCUGUUGCAACCACCAAGAACUAUAGAAAUGAGGAAAGAUUUUUAUGACACCCACUAUUUACCAUUUCCCAGAAGAAACAGAGGAGUGUAGUCGGAUGAGCAGUUUGGUAAGUUUGUAGAAGUCAUUCAGAAAUUAUAUGUCAACAUACCUCUGCUUGAUGCCAUACAGGUACCUACAUAUGCAAAGUACAUCAUAGAUAUUCUUAACAAGAAGAGACCACUGCCCACCACUGAGGUUAUCAAGCUGAGAGAAGAAUGUAGUGCGGCCAUCCUCAAUAAACCACCAAGAAAGAAGAAGGAUCCCGGAUGUCCCACUAUUGAUUGCUCGAUCAGAAGCCAACACUUCAACAAUGCACUUUGUGAUCUCGGAGCAAGUGUCAAUGUGAUGCCAGCAUCAGUCUACAAAAAGCUUGAGCAUACGACCCUAUAACCAACAUCAAUGUGCCUACAACUAGCGGAUCAAUCAGUUCGAGACCCGCUGGGCAUCACCGAGAACAUUCCAGUCAAGGUCAGAGAUUUCCUGGUGCCAGUAGACUUCGUGGUACUGGACAUGAGUCCUGACUCAAAAGUAUCCAUCAUCCUUGGAAGGCCAUUUCUGAGCACCGCCAAUGCCCACAUUGAUGUCGGGAAAGGAGAAAUCAAGUUCAACAUAAACGGACAAGAAGAACACUUCACAUUCAAACCCAGACCAGAGAGAGACCCUACAGUGAAGGAAGUUAAUAAAGAACCACUGGAGACACCAUCUCUGGAGGAAGGUAAAUCAGAAGAUUAAAAGAUUUGGAGGUCCAGCUUGGGGGACCUAAAAAUCCCAAACCCUCACCGGGAGGUAAAUCGGUAUUUAUCCACAUUGUUUAAAUUCUUUCAUAAUUAAUUCUUGCAUUGGUCAUAUUUAUUCAUAGCAUUAUUAUAAUAAAAAAGCCCAUAUAAAUAAUAUUUAUGGUGUGUAACAACCCAUAUUUAUUAAUUAUUAUGGAGGCACAAAAAUAUUUUCCAUUAUCAUUUUCAAUAAGUUUCAAUUCUCAUAGAUUUUCCUGCAUUAUAUUUAAUUAUAGCAACCUUCUAGAAGCAUGACCCACACUUCUUGGGUCCAACAUAUCUCCACUCACCAGCACUUUUCCACCGACCAACCACCACCAUUGAAUUAUUUUUUGGCUUAAAGAUUAAGCAAGGGAGGGAGUGGAGAAAGGGCAGCCAGAAUUGGCACCACAAGUGGGCGCCCGCCCACCUAUAGAGGGCGCCCGCCCUGUCCCCUCUUCCUCCUAUAAAUAGCCACCUUCUACCUCCAUCUUCUUCACACAAGCAUUCUAGAAAAACACGCAAGUUUCAGUUUCCAGUGAAGGAGGUCUUGUAGUGAUGUAAGAAGAGUGUAGAGAGAAAGAGAAGAGUGGGAAAGAAGUUGGUAGUUUUUGAGUGAGAGAGUGAGUUUCACCUAGUAAGAAGUGAUCCCGUUGUCCAAAGCGGAAGUAAAAGUUGUUGAGGGGAGGUUCUGCCAAAAUAAAAACUUGUCUUGAACAACUAACCCCUGGACUACUGACAUUUAGGACAGCUGACCACUAACAUUUUCUCUCACAUUUUCCACUAGUUGUGUUUUUGUCAACUUUUGUUUACAGGAUGUUCAAGAAGGUGAAGAACGCAGGGAAGGCUCUCAAGAACAUAGGUACAAGGAGUUCAUCCCGACACUCCUCUCACCCGUCAGAGAUGAGCGUCGACCCAACGCCCACACAAGCUCCGUCAUAUUCAUCUGAUCAGCAAGUCAAGGUCCUUCUCAAGAUAGGAGACCUUGGACUAAAGACCCACAGGGAAAAGGAAGUCUACCAGCAACUGAAGAACAAAGAUUUCAUUCACACCCCUACUCUUGAUCCAAUCUUGCUACAAGAAACAGGUAUGGAUACUGAAUUCGACUUAAUUUUCCAGAUGUUAGGUUGGACAAAUUUUUGGAAUAUAACUGAGCUGGGUUCUCAUCUUCUCACCCUUGAAUUUCUUUGCACUUUACAAUUUUAUCAGGGGGGAAUUUUUUUUGAUGUUCAAACAGGAGAUUAUGUUGUCUUGGAGAGAACUGAGCGACCAUCUUGGUUUCUCUUCAAGAUGCAUCCUAAACAUUGAUUCCGACCUACCCAAUUUUGAGAGACACCAGUUCUGGAGAGAGAUAUCUAGAGAUAAUUUUUAUUAUCAAGCCCGAACCAGUGACAUGGAACACCACACUCUUAGGAUGUUCCACAAAUGGCUUGGUACAAUCUUUUCUAUCGUAAUGAUAUUAGAAAAGUAAGAGUAGGAGAUUUACAACUUUUAUAUGCUGCUAUUAAUAAAGUACCCACUUCACCUGUUACACUUUUGGUUUCUCAUUGGCUUAGUAUACCUAGUAUUCAGGGACUUGUAGGAUGUAUUUCACUUAUCACUCGUCUAGCCUCUAGUCUUCAUUUACUAGAAAACUCGUCAUUGGAAUUCAUUCAUGAGUUACGGAUUUAUCAUGGCUAUGACACAUUUAGACAAGCUCGGAUGUUAAAGAAAGAGGGGAACAUAAUGUAUAUGCUAUAUGAUAAUAAAGGCAAGAUUUGGUUACCUAACCCGAACCUUGGCCUCUACGUUGUUCAAAAUUUUUUGAUUGAGAUUGCAGCAACACCAGUGAACCAAAGAGCUCCACAAUGAGUGGCAUCUGAAAGGAUGACCACCCAUCAAGAACGCACCUGGUAUGAAGCUGAUCCCGGACCAGAAGAAGCAGCGCACCUGCAUUAUAGCGACUACAACCCCCGAGUCCUUUGAGUACAUGUGCAAUCACAAGAGCCAACACAGGAGACAUGGGCGGAGAGCCAAGAUCAACAGUGGACAAACCCGCCUUUUCAUACGGGCAGGUACUCCACUGAUCCAUAUGGAGCUUCAGGAUCCAGACCUCUGCCCCAAUUUGAUGCAAGACGAUACUCUGACGCCUCCUACGCUUUCACGAACGACUACUACCAAGAGGCCGGUGCUUUCUUCACCCGUACCGACAACACUCCCCUCGACAUCCAGAACACGCAAGCAGAACAUGGACGACUCCUGGAAGAACAGCAAAAAUGGAACCAGGACCACGCCACUGCAGUACAAGAGCUAAGACAAGAUACAACAACAAUGAACGACAACAUCACAACCAUGAUGCGGUUCUGGAACAUCGGGUAAGACCGACAUAACAUCUAGCUUGGGGGAGUUCCUCCCCAAUUUAUCAAGUAAGUUUUUAUUUGUUCUUCUUAUUUAUUCUUUUCUAUUUCAGUAUUUUAUCUUAAAGGAAAAAAAUUAGAAAACCCAAUAAAUAUUUUCUUGCUUUAUUUUACUGCAUUUUAUAAACAUGAAAACAAAAUAAAAAGAGUGUGUAGAUAAGUGUGAUUUAUUUAUCUGCUAAGUAUUAAUCUCUAGAAAAAUAAAAUACCAAAAAGAUACAGGAUGGAAAUGAUGAACAGUUGCUCUGUUUGCUUACUUUCAAGUACAUAGCUUUUAUAUUAGAGUUCUUCCAGGAAUUACUAAAACUGAAAUUACUAUCUUUGGGAAGCAUAAAACUAAAGUCUAGGAAAGAGAAGGACAUAAUAUAAAGUUUGAGCUGCUGUUUAUCUUGUUCCUGCUACACUAUGUUCUGGAGAUCUAUUUUAAAAACUUACAAAUCAAACGAUGAGUUCCUAGCAUUACAAACUACCUACCACAGCCAUACUUCUUAUAACAUCUUUUACUAUAUUCACAUUGAGUUUGAUCGAGCUGUGUAGACCCUUAGGAGCUUUUCAUGUAGUUAAAUUAAGAUAUUCACUUGCACACAUCCACUACACCAUUCACCACCAAUCAUUAAAAUUGCUAAAAAUAUUAUCACUCACUGUCCCAAAUAUUGUUAUUCUCUCUCUCUGAAAAGAUUUAAUGCAGAAGAGGCAUGGGUUAUGCAAAAAUAUGCGAGGAAAUAAAAAGGGGCAAGUGCCCGGAACCUCGGAAAAGAAAAAGAAAAAGAGUGAGACGAGAGGUAAAAACGGACAAGUGUCCGGAGUAGAAUUAGGGGUACAAAGAUGCCCACUUGAGCGGAAAAAAUGGACAAGUGUCCGACAGUAGAAUUAGAGGUAUCUACUACCCACCUGAAAAAAAAGAGAGAGAUAGCCCAUGUUCUCCCAAAGCAAAAGAUCAAAGAAGAGGAGAGAUAGCAAUAUGAGGAGCAAUGAAAAGUGAGCUUUAUCAUUACUUAUAUUUUCACCAUCACUAUCAUUUACUCCACCACACAUGCGCAUCUUGAUUUAAUUAUAUGCUGAGUUCCUUUGGAUCCAUGGCUCGAUUAGGCAACAUAUGUAUGAGAUGUUUUUCACUCCUAUGAGCUCCACUUAAAUAUUCCAUUAGCUAUAGGUAAGUGACAUUUUGGUAAGGAUGCACAAAUACCACAUAUAGAGAGGCUUGAGAGAAUCAUUGCUGGGAACUCUGAGUUUUAUUUUGAAAAAUUAAAAAACUCUGGAACAAAGGUGAAGUAUAGACAGGAGGAAUAGUGCUUGACUUAAUUAUUUUGCCUUUCGAUUACUUAAGACUUAGGUGCAGGUACUAAGCUCCAUGACACUUCACUCUAAUCGGGAAGAAUUUUUAUAUAAAAGCAUGUGUGCCUGUUAGGAAAGAAAACAUCGAAUCAACUCUUGAUCCAUCUGAGUUUAGCUGUUUGCUUAGGGACGAGCAAAGGGUAAGCUUGGGGGAGUUUGUUGACGGUCCUUAAGUACUAAAAUUAAUAAUCAAUUAAACAUGGAAAAAGAUCCAUAUGCACCAAACAUCUAGAAUGAGGGUUUUAUCUGACAGAAUUCCACAAGCUUUGGUGUUUAUCUAUUUCUGCAUGGGGUUAUCAGAAAAUAUGGAGAGAAGGCCCACAUGUCAUGUUUACAACGAGAUAAUUACGUGCUGUGCAAUUUUCCUCAAUCUAGAAGAGUCUAGAAGCCACGGGAACAAACGGGAGACCGAACGGGCUCGGGGGCAGGGCGCCCGCCCACCACCCUUGGGCGCCCGCCCUGGCCAGGAUUCGAUUCAGAACUCUUUUCGGGGACCAAGCUCCACCGACCUAAAGGACGAAUCUAAACCAUGCAACCAAGGUCGGUUUGAUCCGACGGCCCAAAUUCACUUGAAAGGACUAUAUAACCAAGGCCUCUCCACCCCUGGGGGAGAGAAGAGAAGAGGAUAAAUCAUUAUCAGAGGUAGCCAUCAAAGUUAGGGUUUAGAGCUUCUCUCCCACAAAGAAUUAGAAUUAGCUACUCCCUAAUCCUUCAAGUUUAUUCAAGUUUAGAGGUUUGAUUAGAUAGCAAUUAGAUAAGUAGAGCACUACGCUCUGGAUUCGGAUCUUCGGUAUUAAAGAUUGGUAUUAUUCAUAUCUUUCUCUAAUACUUUGUUCUAAUUGCAUUAUGUCUCUAUUUAUUAUGUUCUUAGUUUGCUCUAGUUCUAUAUUUGAUAUAGUUAUGAUUGAUAAUGAGUUUAUGUAUAAGUUUGCAAAGCGCAUAGCUCUCGACGCGAGCGAGUUGAGUGGUAGAUCACAUGUGGGCAUGGUGCUUAGAUGUUAUUUACCUGCAAAUGUAUCCAAUUGGCCGGGUCGUGUGGUAGUUCACGAUAGUGACAGCUUCGUUGAUUCUUAUAUAGUCCACCCUCCAUUGAUAGGACAGGCAGAAUUGGUAUUGCGGAGUAAGUCUUGCGAUGUUCUGAUUUACUUUAACAAUGUUCCUUAUACAUGAAUGAAGAGUCUUUUAUGCUAUACAUGAUCUUGUAGAUAACUGGAGUAGAUUAUGACUUAGUAGAUAGUAGAUAACUUAGAAUCCAUUCUCUAGCUAAUCCGACGUCACCUACAUAUAUGGGGAGUAGUAUAUUUUCUAAUCGCUGUGUUAUUUACCCAUGAACUUACAAUUCAUUAUCAUUAUCUUUAUGGUUUACCCCCUGCCAAAGUAAGUGACUGUGUGACGAGUUUCUCAUUAGUAAUCAUGUUCUUGCAAGUUUAUCUCUAGUCUAUGCUUUGAUAGAUUUUGUCCUUAUUUUAAUUUCAUCCCUUUUAUUCUCCUAAGCAAAAUUAUAAAUAACGAUACCUGGAAUACUUAUCCUGGUGAAAUGCUACAAUGAGGUUUUUUAUCUGUGCGCUUGCGGAUAGAAUAGAUUAUUUUCUAGAGAGCAUUUACAUUUAUAAAUACCUUUGUACACUCUAGCACCAUGCUGGGGAUGACAAUCUAGUAUCUAAGUGGUGUUAGCUAGUGUCAACACCAAUCAAGAGAGGAAUCUCUAGUAUGUCAAAAAUUUGAAAAUCUACACAAAUUCCAGAGUCCUUGAUUCCAACAGGAACUGCCCUUAUACCCAUGGCUUUCUAGAAUUAAUCCAGAUGGACUUUGUAAAAGUUUCUGAGAUGGGGUUAUGGACUCGUUGGGAUAAAGAGUGUCAGCUAACUCCUUGAAAAUAACAUUUAUCUCAACAUAUGGAUUGUAGUGGACCAUCCUAGCGGACCCUCUAAUUUGGCACAGAAGAAUGGUUGAAGGAGUGAUGAUUCGAGCUACCUCAAGAGACAGCUCUGCUUCUGUUAGCCAUUCAUAACUCAUAAUAGCCGAAAGCCUUUUGAUGUGUUCUAUGUCAACAGAUUCUACUCUUAGAACAGAUUGAGUGGUCCUUGCUAGAGGUCGAGAUUGGAUAGGAAAACUCGAGGUGUUUCCAUAAUCUUCAAAAAGAUCUUCCUCGAAUUCAAAGAGAUGCUCUAAAGGUGGUGGUUCAUCAUCCCUUAGUUGGUUUUGCAUUCCCUUAACAGGAGGUUUCUCUACAACCAAAUUAAUAGAUGGGUCAGGUGGAAUUUCUAACUCGGUUGCAAGUUCCUCAUCUUUUGAUUUAGGAUCAGGCUCGACUUCUUUUUCUUCUUCAGGAAACUCAUCAUAAAUGCCUAUGUAAGGGGUAUUUUCAAGGAUUCUCUCUAGGAUAGCUCUCCCCUCAUCUGUGAGUUUGUGUGUGAGUGAGCCUCCUGAAGCAAUGUCGAGGUGAAGAGCAGCUUCCUUGUUUAGACCAUGAUAAAUGUGGUAGUACAGUACAUGGUCAGGCAGGGAAAGGUUUGGACCAGAAUUGCUAAGGCUUGUGAACCUAGCCCAAGCUGCUCCUAAAGUUUCCUUUUCUCUUUGUUUGAAUGUAAGAAUUUCGAUUCUAAGGUCAGCAAUUCGAAAAAAGUGGGAAGAAAGCGAGACAAAAGUUGUCCCGAAGUUCAUCCCAAUUUCCAUUAACGCAUCCUACAGAAUGAGCAUACCACUUUUUUGCUCUUCCCAAAAGGGAGAAUGGAAAUAAUUUCCAUUUAAGGGUUUCUUGUGUCAUGCCAGAAAUAGAUCGGCAAGAGCACAACUGCUCGAAUUCUCGAAGGUGGGUGUAUGGAUCUUCAUCUACUUGCCCAUAGAAGGGUUGCUCCUGAAUCAUGGCUAUUAGAUCAGGGCCGAGGUUGUAGCCAUCUUUAAGAAUUGGAUGUGAUGAUGGUGGUGGCUCUAGUAACUCGCCCUUUGGAGCAAAGAAUUUAUAGAUUGGAGUGAAAUACAUGUGGUAUGGUGAAAAUGGUAAGGUGAGUAGUAAAAAAAGAAAAGAAAAAGGAUACACGGACGACUUGGUUCGAAACUAGCACAGCUACCGUUCCCCGACAACGGCGCCAGAAAGCUUGUUGGGUAUUUUAAACGCAAACAGAAAAAUCCGCAAGGGCACGGAUACCGUUGUAGCUUUCACCCGGGAGUAUUCCAGAGUACCGAUUUUCCAUAGGGAACGUGAGUGUACUAGUUAAGAUUCAAGAUCGCCCAAGGAUAACUAUAUAAUUAUUUUUGGUGGGAAGAGAGGAAGUUUCCUGAGAGUUCUCUAGUUGAUCUACGAUUCACGAAUUACUUCAAAGAUUAUUUAUUUUGGGACAUCAGAACACUAACCACAGAAAAAGAUGAGAAGGGGGCUAGGAAGCUCUGACUACGGUCCUACAAACACCGAUCCGAACGAGGUGGAAUACGUUGACUGUUAGGGCUGUCACUACCCUAGGGCUACCACAACAAUCCGCAGGAUUGGGAGCAAUUCUAGGUAAUUGCAAGACUGAACACCACGUCUAAUCUAUUAAUUACUACUCUAGCGUUGCAAAGACUAGAGCACUUGAUGCAAGCGGGAAUCCAGUAAAUAACUUGAAAGUAAAUAAAAGUAAUUAAAGAACUCAGGAAUUAUGAAUUGAAGAACCUGGAGAACGAUGAAGAACGAACCAGUUGCUGCAAAAGUACAAUGUUGAGGAAGAUCCGACAGAUCCGGCUCCUCCGCUCUCCUCUUCUCUCUCCCUAUUUUCUAGAUUACAACUAGAACUAACUAGAACUAGAACUAGAGGAACUAGAACUAUAACUAGAUGAACUAGAGGGAACCUCUAUACUUGGAUGAAGAAUUGAAACCCUAGCUUUGAUUCUGUAGAAGAGGUAUGUUCUCUAGGGGCCAGGGGCCUUGCUUAUAUAGUCUUUUCAGAUGAAUCUGGGCCGUCAGAUCAAACCGACAUUGAUUGAAUGGUUAUCCUUGAUCCUAUAGGUCGGUGGAGCAUGAUCCCCAAAGAGGACUCUGAUUGGGCACCAAAGGGGGGCGGGCACCUUGGUCUCUAGGGCGGGCGCCAUGGGCUAGGCGCCGUUCUGCCUCCGCUUCGUUUCCGUGGCUUCUGGAGUCUUCUAGAUUAUAGAAAAUUACCGCACACGUUAAUAUCUCUAUGUAAACCCGACGUGUGGGCCUUUCCUCCAUAUUUCUUGAUAACCCCCUACAGAAAUAGACAAACACCAAAACUCGUGGAAUUCUGUCAGGUGAAACGCUAAUUUUGGUUGUUGGUUGCAUAUAGGUCCUUUUCCAUGAUUAGUUGACGGUUAAAUGUGAGCAUUAAGGACCGUCAACAAAGCUACAACGGUAUCUGUGCGUUUGCGGAUUUAUCUGUGUUCGUAUAAAUACCAUAGUACACUCUAGUGCCAUGCUAGGGAUGACAACCUAGUAUUCAAGCGGUGUUAGCAAGUGUCAUCACAUAACAAGAGCAUCAUCAUCUACUUAAGCAUAUCAUGAUUGUUGAUAUUUGGGAACGCAAUAAGGAAUUGAUCCGCAACAGCACGGAUAUCGGUGAGCACUUCACCCGGGAGGUUAUCCAGAGUAUCGUAAUUAUUUUUUUACCACUAGGAGAAAGAAUGCAUCUGACUAACCCGGUCUAUUACUACUAACCCUUUAGGCAACAAAGAAUGUUUCUCGAUGUGAGUGAUAAAUAGAAAAGACUACAACCGUAAUCUCCUUCUAACCUUGGUAAGGAUGAUCUACUAUUCUAUUAGGGAGGCUAACGGAAUCUAGACACCACAAAGGAUGUUCAACCCGCACCUAUAAACCCUAUCCUUCCUACUAACGAGAUAUGGUCUGCAAAGGUAACUCGGAAAUGUCACGUUCCACGCUACUACCACGGUCUAGCUAGUCAGGGAAUAUCUAUGAGUAUCCUAGCCCAAACACCACGUCUACGCUAGAGAUGAUUACUCUAAACUCUACGCGAAGAGAUUAAAGUAAACUCAUAAACCAAAGAACAAUAAAACAAGAACUUACUAGAAUUUAGAAGUCGAAAUACUGCAGAAUCAUAGGAGCAAGCCUCGGGUUAGGAGAACUUGAUCCCGCAGGUACAAGCUCGGAGUAGACACCGACAGGCCGGGCUUCCUCCGAUCUACACCUCCACUCUAUCUCUCUCAAUCUAGUAGAAACUAGAAGAUCUAUUUCUACUCACAUUGGUUGCUAAGCCUAAAAAGAAAUUUUAUUUAGAGAAGAGUUUUUCCUUCGAGGGCUCCCCUCAACUCUAUGAUAAACUUGUCUCCUCCAGGGGUCAGGGGGUCUGGUUUUAUAGUCCCCUCAGGUGAACGUGGGCCGUUGGAUCAAACCGACAUUGAUUGCACUGUUAUCCUUGAUCCUUUAGGUCGGUGGAGCGUCAUGUACGAAAAGAGUCCUGAUUGGCAUCCAACUGAGGGCGGGCGCCCAGGUCCUCAGGGCGGGCGCCCUGGGCUAGGCCCCUUUCGGCCUCCGCUUUGUUCCCGUGGCUUCUGGAGUCUUUUAGAUGGUAGAAAAUUGCGCGGUGCGUUGAUAUCUCUAUGUAAUCCCGACAUGUGGGCCUUUCUUCCUUAUUUCCUAAUAACCCCCUGUAGAAACAUAUAAACAACAAAACUCAUGGAAUUCUGUCAGAUCAAACCCUAAUUCUAGGUGUUGGUUGCAUACUGGUCCUUUCUAUUGUUUAUUUGAUAAUUAAAAUUGAUACUUAAGAACCGUCAACAAAUACCACCAUACUUAGGCUUUUACUCGUCCUCGAGAAAAGGAUGGUUAAGAACAAUAUCUGGGGUAAAACAUUUUAAAACAUUCUCUUCAUAACUGCAGGGUUUUAAAAUCCACUGUGUACUAUAGUGAGGGAAGUAUAUUGUUAAGUGUAAAGAUCCUUUCUUCUCAAUCCUGUCACUUGGAGUUUUUUGUAUAUUUUUGAAAGAAAGUUAGCAUACCUUUUAUCCUCAUAGGUUCUCUCAGAUCACUCAUUGUCUUUUAUAUAUCUCACUGAGGCUGUUUUAAUUUGCAAAAAAUUCUCAAGCAUACUUACCUUGUAUUUAUUGCCUGAUCAAAACGGGAUCCGAGGAGGGGAAUGUCAUACUCUUAGAUCAAAGACUUUGGAAAUUAAAAUCUUUGUCAACUCUUGCUGGCAUAUUGCUUAUUAGAGGGACCAUGGGCUAUCAUUCUUUUUUCUUCUCUUUUUUUUAAGUGGAUACUGAGGUACCCCUGAUUCUACUGCCGGACACUUGUCCAUUUUUUCUACGAGGUUAUCGAGCACUUGCUCCUUUUUAUUUCCUCGAAAUAUCUUUAUUUUUUGCAUAGCCCAUGCCUCUAAUGCAAUAAUACUUCGGAAGAGUGAAUCUUUCUGAAUAAAUGUCUUGAUCUUAGGAGCAUGAUAAAUCUCUCAACAAGGGUCUAACUCAUUUUGAACAAACUCAAUAUAGAGUAGAUAGCCUUUAUAAUCAUAAUUAAUAUUUUCAGUUUUUAUCACGCAUAUAAAACACUGAGGAUGGUAGCUAGAAUUUUUGAAUAAAUUUUGAAAUAAAUUCUCUAAGCAACAAUGAUAUCAAGAAUAAGAAACUCAUACUCUACCAUCUCACAUUCCAUAUUGGCUUAAGUAACACAGGAUUUUAAAAUGAUUUUUCAAUAAUUGCAAGUUUCAGGAAAUAUCAGAGAGUGAGAUUAAUCAUGAUUAGAAACAUUUUAAGCUUGUUAAUUUAUCAUGUCGGAAAUAGUAUUCUGCAUAAUCCAAGAUAUAUAUGUGUAUGUGUAAAGUGUGCAGAGUGCGUACCUGAAUCGUGGAGUGGUGUAGUCGAAGUGUGUUUGGCAUGUCGAGGGAUCUCCCCCAUACUUGUUUUCUGCUCUAAUUCCUUGAUCUUCUUAUUGGCACUGGCAAGAUCCUGUCUAGUAUAAUGGUGUUGUGGUUAGAGAGCUGCCUAGUGAGGGAAUUAAUCGAGGACUGGAGGUCUAUGAUAACUCUGUCUACCCUACGAAUGUCCUCAUCAAUAUCUACUAUAGCCUUGCGACGCUUGGGAGGUGUCUCAAAAGCAUUGAGAGCGUGCUUUGGGAUUGCCUUUGGAGGGAUGAAACGGACUUUGGCUGCUCUAAUCCCUUCAAAGUAAGGCCUUUCCUCCUCCGUAGUGUAGCAUAUGCUGCUGAUCUCGCCGCUCCGGUUGGUCUUGACUCCAACGACCCUCUCAUUGGGUCUAGGUGGAAGGAUCCUCGUGCCGGUUGGCACCUUGAUGGUGGUCUUCGUAUUGGAUGAUGAUCCCUUGAGGAGUAGGGGUUGUGGUGGUGCGGUGAGAACUGAUUGAGCAUGAUAGGAUUGGGUGGAGCUACGUUGGUGUAAUGGCAUGGCUUCUAGCUGUCGCUCUGUGUUGGCCGGGACGAGAGCACGGGCGUCGGGGUCUUCCACAGGCUCCAUGUUGAGGUUGAAGGGGACGACUUCCCAAUCAUCGUGGAACUUCUCGGCCAUUGGAGCAGCGAGGGACUUAACAAGCUCUAAUUGAAGAAGAAGAGAAGGCUUGGAUAGAUUGGUGUUUGAAAACUGAUGUCAGGGGUCUGUUUAUAUAGGGGUCAAAAAGUGCCUCUAGGGGUUGUUCGGGUUGCUCCCUUCGAUGUGCGUGAGAAACUUUCCAUCUGUGGGAUUAUUCAGAUUACCAUAAGUGUGUUUUCCAUAACAGAGAAAAUCGGGACCGAAGGGGAAUAGGGGCGGGGAGCCCGCCCACUUGAUCAGGGCGCCCGCCCUCUCUCUAUCUCCUCUAUGGGUUCGCUUCCUCGAGCGUGUUUCUAGAUGCAAAACUAUUUAGGAAAAUAUAUGUAUCACCCAAAAACGUCAGACUAAAAAGGUCGGGCUCUAAUUCUCUAUGGGAAGGUAAAAAUGGACUACGUCUAUUUCUUCUAAUUCUUUAUUGGGCUCUAAAAACAAUUUAAGACGUUGACCAUUUACCUUGAAUAACGUACCUUCGCCAUUUUGAAGUGUGAUAGCUCCAUGGGAUGAUGAAUUAAUUACCUUGAAUGGUCCUUCCCAUUUGCUCCGGAGUUUUCCAUGCCCGAAAAGCUUCACCCUGGAAUUAAAAAGUAAUACCUUAUCUCCGGGUGUGAACUCCUUCUUGAUUCUCUUGUCAUGCCACCUUUUGACUCUUUCUUUGUAGAUCUUCGAAUUGUGAUAUGCUUUCUCUCGCCAUUCUUCCAAUUCUAAUAGUUGCAUUCUUCUAUGAUCUCCAGCAACAUCUAGGUCCAUAUUCCAUCUCUUUAUGGCCCAAUGUGCUUUGAACUCUAGUUCAACAGGUUGAUGGCAAGUCUUCCCGUACACCAAUUGGUAUGGAGACAUUCCAAUUGGGGUCUUGUAUGUUGUCCGGUAUGCCUAGAGUGCAUCGGGUAACUUGUCUUUCCAUGCCGUUCCCAUUUCAUUUACUGUCUUCUGAAGAAUAUUCUUGAUUUAUUUGUUGGAAGUCUCUGCUUGGCCACUUGUCUGAGGAUGAUAGGGGGUAGCGACGUUGUGACGGAUUCCAUGUUUUCAUAGAUAUUGCUUGAAGCGUUUGUCGAUGAAGUGUGCUCCUCCAUCACUUAUCACUACUCUGGGGACUCCAAAUCUUGGAAAUAUAAUUUCUCCAAACAUCCUCUUUGAACUGAUGUUGUCGGCAUGCUUGCAAUGUAAUGCUUCUACCCACUUGGAGGCAUAGUCAACUACCACCAAGAUGUACUCACACUUCUUUGAUGGAGGAAAUGGACCCAUAUAGUCUAUUCUCCAGACAUCAAAGAGCUCAAUCUGAAGGUUGUUGGUGAGUGGCAUUGCAUCCCUUGUAUUUAUGUUUUCGUGCCUUUGACAUGGCCCACAUCUUCUGAUAUAUUGCUUCGUGUCUUCUUACAUUGCAGGCCAGUAGAAUCCACACUGCCAGAUCUUUGAAUGUGUACGGAAUGCUCCAUAGAGACCUCCAUAUGGUGAUGAAUGACAUCUGUCGAUGAUCUUCCAUCCUUCCUCAGUGGUCACACAUCUCUUGAGUAAGCCAUCAUAGCAUACUCGGAAGAGGUAUGGCUCAUCCCAUAUAUGUGAACGACUUUCUUGAAUAAGCUUCUUCUUGUUUGCUCCUGGUAGUACAUACCCUGAAAGCAUAAAAUUAACAAUAUCUGCAUACUAGGGGUCAGACCUGUUAAUGCCGUACAGCAUGUCAUCUCGGAGUAAAUCAUUGAUGGGGGUUUCCUGUGGAUUCUUAAAAUACAUUCUAGACAAGUGAUCUGCAACAGAAUUUUCUACUCCCUUUUUAUCUUUUAUUUCUAAGUCAAAUUCUUGAAGUAAUAAGAUCCAUCUAAUCAGGCGAGGUUUAGCAUCUUUUUUAGUGAGCAAAUAUUUUAGUGCAGCAUGAUCAGUGUAAACAAUUAUUUUAGCUCCAACUAAAUAAGAUCUAAAUUUAUCAAUGGCAAAGACAACAGCCAGAAGCUCUUUUUCAGUGGUUGCAUAAUUAAGUUGAGCUCCUGUCAAAGUUUUACUGGCAUAAGCAAUUGCAUGAUGCUUCUUAUUUUUAGUUUGUCCCAAAACUGCCCCCACAGCAUAAUCACUAGCAUCACACAUAAUUUCAAAAGACAACGACCAAUCAGGGGGUUGAAUGAUUGCUGCAGAGAUGAGUGCUUUCUUUAAUAAAUUGAAAGAUGUUAGACAUGCAUCAUCAAAUUCGAAAGGAGCAUCCUUGGCUAGCAAAAGAGUAAGUGGUCUAGCAAUGAAUGAGAAAUCUUUUAUGAAUCUACGAUAAAAACCAGCAUGGCCAAGAAAGCUUCGAAUUCCUUUUAUGUUCACAGGUGGAGGUAGUUGUUCAAUUACUUCAAUUUUAGCUUUGUCUACCUCAAUACCUCUUUCAGACACUAGGUGUCCCAGCACUAUUCGUUCCCUAACCAUGAAAUGACAUUUUUCCCAAUUAAGGACUAAGUGCUUUUCUUCACAUCUUUGCAAAACCUUGUCUAAGUUUUCAAGACAACUAUCAAAAGUUUUUCCAUAAACAGAGAAAUCAUCCAUGAAAACUUCCAUAAUCUCUUCAAUCAUAUCAGAAAAUAUAGACACCAUGCAUCUUUGAAAAGAAGCUGGUGCAUUACAUAACCCAAAAGACAUUCUACGGUAAGCAUAAGUUCCAUAUGGGCAUGUAAAAGUGGUUUUGCUUUGAUCAUCGGGAUGGAUCAGGAUGUGAUGAUACCCUGAAUAUCCAUCUAGGAAACAGAAGAACGAAUGGUUCGCUAAUCGCUCUAGCAUCUCAUCUAUGAAAGGUAAAGGAAAAUGAUCCUUUCUCGUGGCUUUGUUUAGUUUUCUAUAGUCUAUGCACAUCCGCCAUCCUGUGACGGUGCGUUGCGGAAUUAGCUCGUUCUUUUCAUUCAUAAUAACAGUCAUGCCUCCCUUUUUAGGCACAACUUGAACUGGGCUCACCCACUCACUAAGCAGCACAGGAUAUAUAAUCCCUGCAUGCAGCAACUUUAUAACUUCCUUUUUAACUACCUCCCUCAUAGUGUUGUUAAGUCAAUGUUGAGGUUCUCGAGAAGGUGAAACAGAAGGAACUGUUGGAAUACGAUGGGUACAAAUCAUAGGACUGAUUCUUGUAAGAUAUUGGAGUGAGUAGCCGAAAACUGAGUGAUGUUUCUCAAGAAUGGUCAUUAAUCGUAGAGUUUGCUCCUGACUGAGUUCAUCGCUAAUGAUCACAGGAAACUCUGGAUUAUUGUUUAGGAAAGCAUAAGUAAGACCGGGUGGUAAAGUUUUAAGCUCUAUGGGAGGUCUAGGUGUUUCUGCAAACUCAUCUAAGGGUUCAGGUUCAGAAGGUUCGGCUUCUUCUUCUGUGAAGAAAGGAGCUUCUUCUUCUUAGUCUGAUUCAUCUAAAAGCUCUAGAGAUGCAACCUUUACCUCCUCCAUGGGAUCAGGCAAAAGAUAUGACUCGGCCUUAUUGUUUAAGAAGUGUGAAAUUGUUAUUGGGAUUUUAAAAGCUUUUCCAUAAGAAAUGUGUUGCUUUCCAGUAUGACCUUCAUAAAGGAGUCUUCUAAAAGGUUGUCCUAUCAACAGGUUGAAUUCCCAUGUAUCAAAGAUAUAGAAGAUCAAAUGAACCAUGGAGCCUUCUACCGUAAGAGGUAGGACAUUAAUAAUUCCAAUACUGGGGACUAAUCAUCCCAAAGAUUCCUUUAUGACCUUUGUUGUGCGGGUUAAGACAAGAUUUUUAAAUAGUUUAAGUGCAAAAGAUUCAGACAUGGUGUUGAUCCCCACAACAGGAUUAUAGAGAGCAUUAAAUCGAUCAGAAUUAUAAGCACAGCGUAUAGUUAUAGAGGGUGUGUCCAAACAGAUCACAUCAGAGGAAAGCUCUGAUUCCUCCAACCACUCGCUACUCAUGACUGAGAUAAGCUCUCUUAAUUGAUAUUCACUUGGUAAAUAAAUGCUAAACUGGCCGUUUUGGGGUUUGUCAAUAGAAUGGUAGUUUGAAAUGUUUCCAAAAUCGGCAAAAGAUCGGAUUCUAUAUCCAGCAUAAAGUCUGGUGGUGGAAUUUCUUCCUUUUGUGGCUCAGAACUUGGGAUAGCUAAAGUAGAUGAAGAAUUUGGCAGAGUGUCUACUUCGGCCUCGUAGGUUUCAUCAUGAAGGGUAUUAUCCAUCUCAGCUUCUAGGAUUCUAUCUAGGAUCAAUCUAGCUUCAUCAGUAGGGAUGCGAAAGAAAGAACCUCUAGACGUUGUGUGUAGCAUUUGUUUGUGAUUUUUCUAAAGAGCUCGAAAAAAGUGAAAUAAAAGAACAGGGUCUUCAAGAUUAAGGUUUGGACCAGAUUCUAAAAGAUCAGAAAAACAUUUCUAGGAUUUUGUUUAAAAGAUAGGACUUCGAGUCUAAAGUUUCAUUAUCUUUUUGUUUAAAAGUUUCAUUAUCUUUUUGUUUAAAAAUCUAGACAAAAGUUGGCUCGUAAAACUCCCCAUUCACCUCGUUGUUCACUUACCUUCUGACUAUACCAUUGUCUAGCUUCUCCCCUUAAGGAAAAAGGAAAAAGCUUCUAAUGUAAAGUUUUAACAGAAAUGCCUUCAAUGCGAAGACAAUCACAUGUUUGCUCAAAUAUCUAAUAUGAAGGUAAGGGUUUUCGUCUUCCUUUCCUGAAAAAGAUAGGUUUUGUAUCAUGGCAAUCAACCUCGAACUUAACCUAUACUGGGAUGUUUGGAUAGGCUGUGAUGACUCCCAUUGUAAAAGGUCAGUUUCCGAAGGUGUUGCAAAUUGGUAGAUUGAUUUAGAAUCUUGGUUUUCCAUAAGGUAAGAGUAAAUAAAAUAAAUACAGAAUAUAAAAGAUAAGAAAAGAUAAAAGUAUAGAUACAAGCUAGUAGUAAGACUCAAGGUUAUCUCAGCAAACCGUCUUUCUCCCCUGCAACGGCGCCAGAAAUGCUUGUUGAUAUUUGGGAACUCAAUAAGGAAUUGAUCCGCAAGCGCACGAAUAUCUGUGAGUACUUCACCCGCGAGGUUAUCCAGAGUAUCGUAUUUAUUUUUUACCACUAGGAGAAAGAGUGCAUCUGACUAACCCAGUCUAUUACUACUAACCCUUUAGGCAACAAAGAAUGUUUCUCGAUGUCAGUGAUAAAUAGAGAAGACUACAACCGUAAUCUCCUUGUAACCUUGGUAAGGAUGAUCUACUGUUCUAUUGGGGAGGCUAACGGAAUCUUGACACCACAAAGGAUGUUCAACCCGCACCUAUAAACCCUAUCCUUCCUGCUAACGAGAAAUGGUCUGCAAAGGUAACUCGGAAAUGUCACGUUCCUCGCUACUACCACGGUCUAGCUAGUCAGGGAAUAUCUAUGAGUAUCCUAGCCCAAACACCAUGUCUAUGCGAGAGAUGAUUACUCUAAACUCUACGCGAAGAGAUUAAAGUAAACUCAUAAACCAAAGAACAAUAAAACAAGAACUUACUAGAAUUUAGAAGUCGAAAUACUGAAGAAUCCUAGGAGCAAGCCUCGGGUUAGGAGAACUUGAUCCCGCAGGUACAAGCUCGGAGUAGACACCGACAGGCCGGGCUUCCUCCAAUCUACACCUCCACUCUAUCUCUCUCAAUCUAGUAGAAACUAGAAGAUCUAUUUCUACUCACAUUGGUUGCUAAGCCUAGAAAGAAAUUUUAUUUAGAGAAGAGGUUUUCCUUCGAGGGCUCCCCUCAACUCUAUGAUAAACUUGUCUCCUCCAGGGGCCAGGGGUCUGGUUUUAUAGUCCCCUCAGGUGAACGUGGGCCGUUGGAUCAAACCGACAUUGAUUGGACGGUUAUCCUUGAUCGUUUAGGUCGGUGGAGCGUCGUGUACGAAAAGAGUCCUGAUUGGCAUCCAACAGAGAUCGGGCGCCCAGGUCCUCAGUGCGGGUGCCCUUGGCCAGGCCCCUUUCGUCCUCCGCUUUGUUCCUGUGGCUUCUGGAGUCUUCUAGAUGGUAGAAAAUUGUGUGGUGCGUUGAUAUCUCUAUGUAAUCCCGACAUGUGGGCCUUUCUUCCUUAUUUCCUGACAACCCCCUGCAGAAACAGAUAAACAACAAAACUCGUGGAUUUCUGUCAGAUCAAACCCUAAUUCUAGGUGUUGGUUGCAUACUGGUCCUUUCUAUUGUUUAUUUGAUAAUUAAAAUUGAUACUUAAGAACCGUCAACAAUGAUCAUCAUCUACCUCGAGUCAUGUCAUUGUAUGCUAAAGUGUGUUUUAACUUGCUUAAAUAUACUUCCUAUGCUGGUGUUUACUUAUUCCAUGCCCAUGUUUGUGUGCUAUGCCUUAGUAAAUAGUUUCUCUAUGCUUAACUCAACCUUUGGAACAAUGUUCAUGUUGAUCACUUCUCCAAAUUAAGUACUUAAGUCAUACUUCCAUGUAUAGGCCCUAGAAACAUCUUUUGAUUAAGCUUUUAAAAAGUGUUUCGUAAAGUGUUUGCAUGUCAAAACUUUCUAGAGCAAAGUUGUAGCACAUUUUAUAAGGAACAAAAGUUGUUUUAUGGCCAUCUCAUGAAAAUUAUCACAUCUAGCUCAAAAAUGGCCCACAAGGCAGAUUUGGGGCUGUUUCAAACACUUAGAAAAUUUUCUAAGUCUGGGAUUGCAAUAGUUUGCUCGAGGGUGUUUUGUUUAGCUCCCGGUUUGAAAUCUAGGCAGAAUCAAACCUUGAUCUUGUAAGAAAUGUUGGAGUUCUCAUGUAGCUCUACAGCAUGGAGCAAUUAGCCAGCAAAAUCAUCGAAGUCCAAAAAUCGAGUUUCAGUCGGCUCUGAAACUGAAUCGAGACGGCGUCAGCAGAGGGGAGCUCGCCGGUGACGCCGCGUGUCUGGACUCGUGGCGUCCGUACGUCGCCGUUGGUCCCGCUCGUCAGUCCUCAGCGUGUCCUAAAGCUCGCCACGACGCCCCCGGUCGUGUGGACAGCGCCAUUUCCACUCUGGUCCGCCCUCUAUCGCGCUCGUCGUCUUCUCCGCGUCGCCACCGCUGCUUCGGCGAGCUCGCGCGCUCGCGUCUCAGCACCUCUGGCUGAGCAACUCCACCCAGAGCUCCGCCAGCUUCCCCGCUUCCCCGUCGUCGAGUUGGCUAUGGCUGUCGAGCCUCGGUGAGCCCACAUUGUCUUCUCCAUCGCGAGCUUACCUCGCCGGAGCUCUGCCGUGGUCACCGGUGUCGUGGCCAGGGCUCUAUAGUCCACCAUUUCUCCUCGUUCUUGUCCGAAAAGCUCCGUUGAGUCGUGCUAAUGCUCAUCCGAGUCCUCAUUCACCCGGUCUCCGACCAGAGACACCGACGGUCGGCCACACACCACCGCCGUGCCGCCAUUCGCGAGGGCGAGGUACCUAGGGUGCGGUAGAGUUAGGGUUUCUGGUACCAAUCGGUGCGGAAUGGAGUGAGGAGCACGAUGCUGCUCUUGGCCGUCGCUGAGACCUCGCCGUCGACAAGAUCUUCGGCGGUCAAGUCGCGCCUCUACUCUCGGGUCACUGACGUGUGGGGUCCGUUGACCUGCGGGGUCCCCUGUCAGUCUCUCUUUCUCCUUUGUUUUAUUUAGGGUUUGUGUUGUUUUUGCAAAAAUCAUAUCUCUAGUUCCUGUGAUCCAAAAUUUGUGAGAUAAAUUUUGUGACAUUCCUUGAGAUGGCUAGUUUUUAAUAAAAAUAUAAAAUGUACCAUGUUUUCUGGAAAAAAUAAUUGUUAUGAUUUAAUCUUGUUAUUUAUGUGUAAAUUCAUAUCUGUUGAUAUACUGCUCCUUUUGCUAUGAAAUUUUUAUGCUAUGCCUUGAGUGGUAUUAGAAUGCUAUGAUAAAUAUUUCAUGAUUUGUGGAGUAAUGUAUCUGUGAUAUGUACUUAUGUUGGUUCUAUGGCUUGUUUUCGUAAUUAAAUCAUAAUAAAUGAUUUAUGCUUAUGCUGGUAUUCUAUUUUGGUGUCAAGCUUGUUUAUGGUAAUAGUAACAUGUAAAUAAUCUGAAAUCUGUUGCUUGACACUACCAAAGCCAUGUUUCUUAAUUUAUGAAAUAAGCACCUUGAUACAUGUUAAAUACUUAUCUUAAGUUUGGCAUGUGCAAUUGCUCUGAAAUUUUUAUGGUAAUUUGUAGAUGCCAUGCUUGUGUUUCUGUAAUUUUUGUAGAUUUUUCUGAGUACUUUUGCUGGCAGCUUGUAAUUAUGUCCCUUCAUGGAAUUAAAUUAAUAAGUGCCAUGUUAUUGGGUGUUUAGUGGUCAGCAUGUGAUGCUCUGGCUACCUUAGGGUAUACUUGUGCUUGUAACCCAUUUGGUUGGCACUAAAUAUGUUUUGGCUAUGUCAUCAAAUAAAUAAUUAGAGGGUUAAAAGCUGUUCUGGACAGCAAGGGAGUAAUCUAACCUUUGCUUAAUGAUAACUUGGUUUUCUGGAAGACUUGUCUAAAUCAAAGUUGUUGUAAACUUUAUAAACUAGCUGUGGUUUAAAUUUGGGAUCAUUUGGUCCAAUAGUCUAAAAGUUAUGGCUCUUCCAAUUUGGGUUCCAGAAAUAGGUGUUCUCUGAUUUUCUGGGACAGAACAUGGAACUUUGUUUAAUUGACCUGUUUAACUUGGGAAUCCUGCUGUGUUGUCUAAAGAUGAAAUAUAUACGAGUUCAUAAGCUUUCCAGAAUGUCCUCAUUCAUGUUUGUUGGAUCUAUAUAGCAAUAGUUAUGAUCUGUUUACUGAGCUGUUCUGUUAUAGGAUGCUUGCUGUUUGUAGAUUAACUUGGUAAUCUUGCUCAGUAGUUAAUCAUCUUGUGUGAACUUGUAAUGAGAGUUACUCCAUAAAUGAGUGUCCAGUGAAGUUCUAAUUAUGUUAUCAAGCAUUCAUCCUCAUCUAGGAUGCACACAUUCUUAUUCAUCGUGCAUACAAUAGGUGCAUCGGAAGCGGCGACCAUGUUUGAGCCCAACCUGGUGAAUCCCGAAGGCCAGGAGAUCAAUCCGGAGGUGGAGGUCCAGCCAGCCGGACACGAGGAGUCCGAAGAGGAGAUCGAGUGCCCUAAUCACGAGCCAGCCUCGUUCAUGAAAGGCAAGCCCCGGAACAUCUUAAGUCUCCCACUUUAAUUUCAAAAGUUUACUUGAAUAUGUUAUAUCUAUUAAUGCAUUAUGUAUAGGAGUUGUGAUGAAACCCUUACUGCAUUAUCCUUAUUCCUUGUCUAGAUAUCUUACCAUUGCCUGGUCAUAGAGUUAGGAUCGAGUAGCAGCUUAGCCAUGCUUAAAUCGGUAGAAGUCGGAUGAUAUCCUGUCACCUGCGUGAGAUAGGGUUGUGUCGGAUCACGAUUGUCUAUAUGUGCUAUCAUGGAAAGAACCUGAUUAAAAUGACUUAAGCUGGGCGGAGUUUUGCAAGGUUGUAGUAACUCCAUCUGUGGUUGCUAAGGACCGAUCAUUGCACGUCCUCUUGUCAUGUUGAACUCAUGCCUAACACUUAGUUGGCCGGAUAACUCGUUCCGACCGCGAAGCCUAGUAGUAUGACUCAGGCCGGAAGACCGGCAAGUAUAAAGUGCGCACGACCAGAGGAAGUGCGGUGUGUGGGGGACCAUUGGCGUAAGACCAAAGGUAGGUGAGUUAAAAGUCCUGACCUCCCUGUCAGAGUGGUAGCCCUGGGAGUGCGGCGCUGAUCGGAGCCGCAAUUCCUUAGUCGUACGAAAGGUGACCCGUUUGCUCUGCGACGGGGGAUGCUUGGGUGAGUGCUAGGAAUAACCCUCCAGCUGGAUAGGAAUUGAUUCGAAUCGCCGUCUCUCCUGGAUAGUGAGAAAUUGACAGAGCAGCGGCAAGCGUAGCAUUCACUAAAGAACAUUGGUUCGUGAUAAUGAUGGUAGCAAGGAAGAGCAUAUGAUGAACUUGAUAUGGUUAUUAUUGUUUGUAUUAAUCAAAGUGUAGUGCUUUAGUACAGGUGCUAAUCUAGUGCUAGGUUAAUAAAGAUUAAUAUGAUGCCUUUACAAAUGGGAUAGUAAUCACUUGAGCUUUUGGCAAAUGUUGAGUCAAGCCAGCUACACUUUAUAAUAGCCUUGCAUGAUCCUUGGUGUCUUCUUAGUUUACUAGACGGGUAAUUCUAGCUGAGUACAUCCUCGUACUCAGGGUUUGCUUCUGCAAGACCUGUCUCCAUCCCGCUGGGGAUGAGGACUAAACCAUUGGGCACGGUUCUCUAACAAAUUUGUACCUGUCGCUUUUGGAUGGAUGGCAUGAGACUCUGGCAAUAACAAGAACUUUCGAAUGUGUGUUGUAAAAUAUUUUGCUUUCGCUACUGCAAACUUGGGUUGUAAUAAAUAAUUAACUCCGAUGUGGUGCCGCAUCGAUGGCAAUGAAUGACUAUGUAACAUUCGCUGUGUUAUGUUGAACUAUUACGAUCUUGGUUUGUUACAAGUUGGUUUGAAGUCCUUCAAGAUUUCGGUUGACUACCGGGAUAAGGGCCCAAGUAUGGAAACUUGAUUGCUAGUUGAUCGUUUCUGCACUUGAACUCUUAUAAUUUGGUCGGGUCUAUGACAGGAGACAUUGACCGGGCGACGGUAUAUGUGUCAUUGGCGCCCGGUACGGAGCACCCGGCCGGAAUGGAUCCUCCAGUGGACGAGCUGCUCCAUGUGACCGAUACACCAGCAGUGACGAAGAGGAGAACCGGCUGGCACCGACCACCGACAACACGGUGGCCGGCAAGAGGUCGAUGGCUGUGGAGCCAUCUCCAGUGGAAGCAGUGCCUGCAGGAUCAGUUGCAGGACCUGUGAUGGGCCAGGGGUCGACCUCAGGUAGCCGAGCACCCAAACGCCGCUAGCUUAUUAGAAUUGUCGAUGACGACGAUGAGGAGGAAGAGGUGGCCCCAACCUUGGUCCGUAGACCCCGCAACAGCCCCGACGUCGCCCCAAGCAACAGUGGUCGGGUUGCCAAGGACCCACCUGCUGCAUACGUCAAGCAGGCGUGACCGGGUGGAGCGGAGACAACGGCGGCGGCUGGACGAGCCAGGAGGAGAGUCUUCUUAGUGGUGCAUCGAAGUUCAAAUCUGUAAGCCCAUCGAGGAAAGUUUCUUUUUUAGUGAAGUUUGAUUUCAGUGUGGUAAUUUUGGAUUGGAUCUUCUCUGUAGUACUGCCUCGGAUGUUGAUCUUGGUAGUGUUUUGGGCUCGAGGACAACCGAGCCGGUGGCCGCCGAGCAGAACAUCACAGGGCAAACUACCCUAGAGCAGCCCAUGGCACACCCUGCUGCUGUCCUUCCGACGAAGAUGGCCGAUGAGGACCCGGCCCGAGACAGGGCUGAGGCGAGCGCCCGACAAGGGGCGAUGGGACCACGGGGACUCCUCCCCCGAGCAGUGUGGUGGAGGAGGAAAACAAGGCCCCGUCCCCUGCUCCAGUUGAAGAGGACACGGCUCUAUCUCUAGCUCCAGUGGAGCCACACAGGAGGGCGCUCCUGACCGAGGUAAGGGUCUUGUGAUACCCGAUACCGUGGUUGGGGGUAGCAUAGAAGGCGAGGAAGCUCGGGCGGCCUCCGACGACGAAGUGGAGGAGAUCCAGGGGCGUCCCCGCGAUGGUCGCCAACACAUCUAUGUAUGGUGCUAGCAUGGGGACCACUAGGCCGGCCACGAGGAGAUCGCCGAGGUCGAGGAGGCGGAGAGGGUAGAGCGCACUGCCAAGCACCUCAUCAGUGAGGUUAAGGUAAGUGGUCUCACAUUUUAUUAGAGUAUAUAUAAACCAUGGAGUGUUUACUGUGUAUCAUGCCAGAAAUCCAUAGGACGCAAUGAAAACGGCGAAGUAACGGAAAAGGUGCUUUGACCAAAUUGAGGGCAUGGUCGCUGAGAACAAGGCCCUGACCGCGGAGGUGGACCGCCUUCGGUCGGAGGCCGAGAGGGAGGCGAAGGAGAAGGCAGCUGAGGAAGUGCGUGUGCUGGACCUGACUCGGCGACUAGCCGAUAAGGAUCGUGAGAAGAGGAGUAAGUCAAGUUUCUAAGUAGUUGUAGCUAACUACGUGGUCAAUUUUUAUGACAAACUAUUAUCGCUUCAGGUCUGGAGGAGGAGAUUGAGCGCCUCCAAAAGGAGAGAGACCAGCUCGGCUAGGAGCGUGCGCGUGCGCUAGAAAGCGAGCGUAAGGCUGGCAAGGAGCUGAAGACCAGGAACCGAGAGUUGGCUGGUAAGAUCUGUUUUGACUUUGCUGACCACGGAUUGUGUAUUGGCGUAGUGUGCUAUUGACUAUCUUCCUCCGAUUUUUAUUGAAACUUGUCAUAGUGCUCAAGGCCAACACUAAAAAGCAUGUCGAGGACCUGGUCAAAGACCGGGACUCCUAGAAGACAAAUUGCAUAAAAAUCUGCAAGGGCGUCGCUCUGGUGCUGGACCUAAUCAGCCCCGAGCUCCCCGAGGACCAGCCCACGCACCGAGGUUGACCCCGGUCGAAAUGGCGCAACAAGCAUGGGGCUAGCUCCAGCAGUUUGUGAAGGACGCUGGGAAGUUUGCCAGAGCACAUGUCCUCAGCAUGGUGCGCGCUCACUACCCCUGGUCGAUCUGUCCUGGCUGGAGAGGGGAUACCCAAAGGAGGUUGGUCCGAAGGAGGCAGAUGACCUUCCCGUCAGCCUGCUCGACCUGUCGUCGACAGUAAUCGGCGACAUCAACCUCUAUAGGACGUCAACUCCCCCUGAUCAGCCAGGGUCAGACAGGUCGGCCCGAGAGUUGUCGGGGGCGUCGAUUGCAGUAGAUGGGCGGUCGACACCUGCGGUCUCGACCAGCCAGGCACCGGUGGCCCCGACCGCUUCGACGGCACCAGAGGCCCACGCAGGCGAGCGACUUGAGCAGUAGGCUCUAGUAUAGUCUGUAGAGAUAGACUAGAAACCACCCAGAGGGGUGUUUACUGUAAAAUUUGUUUAUUAAGUUUGUAAUAAAGUCUGAUUUUAAGAACCAUGGUUUUGAGCGUUGCAAAUAAGUUGUCUUAGUGAUGUAUCAUUGCAUAUGUCGGGUACCCUUGAUUGAUUUCGUUGUGUGACGUGUCAAAGACGGAUGUUGCUGUACUUGUCGAGUACUCUGCAUAUAUAGAAAUAUAUGGCGAAAGAAAAACAAAUUUUAUUAUUAUUCAUCAGAAAAAAGAUACAAGUAAGAUGUACUGAAACUUAGGGGCAGAAACGCCGUAGUUUGUCUAUGUGCCAGGUGUUAGGGAGACUUGUCCCGUCUGGGUAAGCCAGUCUGUAGGAGGUGGGACGCGUGACUUCGGCGACCACAAAAGCUCCCUCCCAGGGCGUAGAUAGCUUAUGCAUUCCUUCGUGGCUUGUUUUCCAUUUGAGUACCAGAUCACCGACCACGAAGGAGCGAUCCUUGACGUUCUUGUUGUAGUAUCGUCUCAUGGCUUCAUGGAACUUUGCUGUUCGAAGGUAGGAGGCCAACCAUUUCUCUUGUGUGCAAUUAAUUUCAAGUUCUCUGGCGUGGUCUACUGAAGACUGGUUGAAGUGCUUGACUCUUGGGGAUCCAAAAGCUACGUCAGAGGGAAGCACAACCUCAGCCCCAUAAACCAUGAAAUAGGGGGAUACACCCGUGUUCCGACUAGGCUGUGUUCGGAGAUCCCAGACCAUCGCUGGUAAUUCUUUCAUCCACCACCCCGGUGCCCUGUCAUUUUCCAUGUACAGCCUCUUCUUUAGUGCAUUUAUAAUCAUCCCAUUGGCUCGCUCCACUUGACCGUUGGCUCGGGGAUGGGCUGCCGACACGUAUUUUACGACUAUGCCUCUGUCAUCACAGAAAUCCCAGAAUGUAGUGCUGGUGAACUGAGUGCCCAGGACGGUGAUUAUACUGUUGGGAACUCCGAAUCUAUGUAUGAUUUGAUUGAGGAAUUCUACAGCCAUCUCUGAAGUUGCUUUGACCAGUGGCAUGUACUCGAUCCACUUGGAGAACAUGUCGAUCCACAGAAACACAAAUUUGAAAUUGCCUAGAGCGUGUUUGAAUGGCCCAAUCAUGUCAAGGCCCCAGUAGGCGAAUGGCCAAGAUGACGGUAUUGUCUAGAUCUCACGAGUAGGUACGUGAGUCCUUUUGGUGAAGAACUGACACCCCUCACAACACCGAACCAGCUUCUCAGCAUCAGCUACUGCGGUUGGCCAGUAAAAACCUGCUCAGAAAGCUUUUCCGACCAGUGUUCUAGAAGCGGUGUGGUUGCCACAGGAUCCAGCGUGUAUGUCAUCUAGCAGCUUGAUGCCAUAUUCUUGAGUUAUGCAUUUCAACAAGACUUCUGAGUUUGCAUUUUUUCGCAUGAGUCUGCCGUCAACCAUUAUAUAGUUUUUGGAUCAUCGGAUGAGACGAUCGUUCUCCAUCUUGUCUUGAAAUCCUGAACCGUCCGAGAGGUACUUAACGAAAGGUGUGCGCCAGUCGUUGCCGCUGGUUGUCGAGGUGGCAUCCUGGACGAGCAGUGUCUCGUUGUGUGGCUUGCCGACUGUUGACACUAGCUAACACCACUUGAAUGCUAGGUUGUCAUCCCUAGCAUGGUGCCAGAGUGUACAAAGGUAUUUAUGAAUAUGGAGACUCUCUAGAAAAUAAUUUAUUCUAUCUGCAAGCGCAUAUAUAAAAUACCUCAUUGUAGCAUUUCACCAGGAAAGUAUUCCAGGUAUCGUUAUUUAUAAUUUUGCCUAAGAGAACAAUAGGAAAAAUGAAGAUAAGGAUAUAAUCUAUCCAGGCAUAGACUAGAGAUAAACUUGCAAGAACAUGAUUACUAAUGAGGAACUCGUCACACAGUCACUUACUUUGGCAGAGGGUAAGCCAUAAUAAUAAUGAUAAUGAAAUAUAAGCUCAUGGGUAAUUAACACAGCGAUUAGAAAAUAGACUACUCCUCAUAUAUGUAAGGUGACAUCGGAUUAGCUAGAGAAUGGAUUCUAAGUUAUCUACUAUCUACUAAGUCACAAUCUACUCUAGUUAUCUACAAGAUCAUAUAUAGCAUAAAAGACUCUUCAUUCAUGUAUACGGAACAUUGCUAAAGUAAAUCAGAGCAUCGCAAGACUUACUCCGCAAUACAAAUUCUGCCUGUCCUAUCAACGGAGGGUGGACUAUAUAAGAAUCAAUGAAGCUGUCACUAUCAUGAACUACCACACAACCCGGCCAAUAGGAUACAUUUGCAGGUAAAUAACAUCUAAGCACCAUGCCCACAUGUGAUCUACCACUUAACUACCACAUGUCAAGAGCUAAGCGCUUUGCAAACUUAUCCAUAAACUCAUUAUCAAUCAUAACUAUAUCUAAUAUAGAACUAGAGCAAACUAAGAGCAUAAUAAAUAGAGACAUAAUGCAAUUAGAACAAAGUAGUAGAGAAAGAUAUGAAAUAAUACCAAUCUUUAUUAACAAAGAUCCGAAUCCAGAGCGUAGUGCUCUACUUCUCUAAUUCUAUCUAAUCAAUCCUCUAAACAUGAAGGAUUAGGGAGUAGCUAAUUCUAAUUCUCUAUGGGAGAGAAGUCCUAAAACCCUAACUUUGAUGGCUACCUCUGAUAAUGAUUUCUCCUCUCUCUCCCCCUGGGGUGGAGAGGCCUUGAUUAUAUAGUCCUUUCAAGUGAAUUUGGGCCGUCGGAUCAAACCGACAUUGAUCGCACGGUUUUCCUUGAUCCUUUAGGUCGGUGGAGCAUAAUCCGCGAGGUUGGAUGUGAUUGGCCCUGAGGCUAGGGCGGGCGCCCUGCCCCCGAGCCCGUCCGGUCUCCCGUUCGUUCCUGUGGCUUCUGAACUCUUCUAGAUUAAGGAAAAUUGCGUGGCACGUAAUUAUCUGGUUGUAAACAUGACAUGUGGGCCUUCUCUCCAUAUUUUCUGAUAACCCCCUGCAGAAAUAGAUAAACACCAAAGCUCGUGGAAUUCUAUCAGAUAAAACCCGAAUUCUAGAUGUUUGGUGCAUAUUGAUCCUUUUCCAUGUUUAGUUGAUGGUUAAAUUUAGUACAUAAGGACUGUCAACAAACUCCCCCAAGCUUAGCCUUUGCUCAUCCGUGAGCAAACAGCUAAACUCAGAUGGAUCUGAAGUUGCUUCGAUGUUUUCUUUCCUGACAGGCACACAUGCUUUCAUAUAAAAUUCUUCUAGAUUAGAGUGAAGUGUUAUGGAGCUUAGUACCUGCACUCAAGUCUUAAGUAAUCGACAGACAAAAUAAUUAAGUCAAGCACUAUUCCUCCUGUCUAUACUUCACCUUUGUUCUAAAGUUUUGCAUAAGUUUUCAAAAAUAAAACUCAGAGUUCCCAGCAAUGAUUCUCUCAAGUCUCUCUGUAUGUGGUAUUUGUGGAUCCUUACCCAGCUCAUAGAUAUGUUGUCUAAUCGAGCCAUGGAUCCAAAAGAAUUCAGCAUAUAAUUAAAUCAAGAUGUGCAUGUGUGGGGGAGUGAUGAUAGUAAUGUAUAAGUGAUGAUAAAACUUACUUCUCAUUGCUCCUCAUAUUGCUAUCUCUCCUCUUCUUUAAUCUUUGCUUUGGGAGAACAUGGGUUAUCUUUCCUUCUCUUUUUUUCAGGUGGGUAGUAGAUACCCCUAAUUCUACCGUCGGACACUUGUCCAUUUUUUCCGCUCAAGUGGGUAUCUUUGUACCCUAAUUCUACUCUGGACACUUGUCCAUUUUUACCUCUCGUCUCACACUUUUUCUUUCUUUUUCGAGGUUCCGGGCACUUGCCCCUUUUUAUUUCCUCGCAUAUUUUUGCAUAACCCAUGCCUCUUCUGCAUUGAAUCUUUUUAGAGAUAGAGAAUAACAACAUUUGGGACACUGAUGGAUAAUAAUAUUUUUUAGCAAUUUUAAGGUAUGGUGGUGGAUGGUGUAGUAGAUGUGU